Molecule: non-coding RNA, 70048 nt
Organism: Podarcis lilfordi (Lilford's wall lizard)
Lineage: Eukaryota; Metazoa; Chordata; Lepidosauria; Squamata; Lacertidae
Source: the annotation of a GenBank genome assembly
AGCGUUGCAGCGCGUGCCGCGGCAGGAGCGUUUUAACGGUUAAGAGGAUGAAGGCGGGAAAAGGCGCGUGAGGCGCGUCAGGUGAGCCUCACCUCAGGAGCGGCAGGACCAUGUUUCGAAGUAAGCGAAUACAGUGGUACCUUCAGUGCCGUAUAAGCUAAACAAGCUGUAGCUUCUUAGAGCCCCACUCUCUUGCCCCCCCCCAAUCACUAUUAACAUACUUAAUUGUAUUUCGGUUCAACAAUUACUUUGAUAAAAUACAUAUUUUGUUAUGUGGCAAAUGGCUUUAGAUCCCUAUUGGGUACCUAAAUUACCAUAUAGCAUAUAUUCAACACAAAAAAGCGACAAUUUGUUGUUGACAAAGGAGAGCUGGACAUAUAAAGGGCCCUAUUACUUUCAGUCAAACCUAAAUCCGGCCUCGUCAAACCUAAAUCCGGCCCUGGUAAUUUGGUUCUGAAACUUAAUCUAUUCUGGAAGUCCAUUCCAAAACCAAAGGGUUCCAAAACCAAGGCACGCUUUCCCAUAGAAAGUAAUGCAAAACAGAUUAACCUGUUCCAGACUUUUAAAAAAAACUAAAACAGAAAUUUAACAUGAAUUUUGCAAUCUAGAGACGAUUGAUCCAUAAAAUGAAAGCAAUCAACAAUAUACUGUACUAUAAAAUAAAGAUAGUAUUGUAGAUGAUUUUUUUUUUUUUUAAUUCUUACAUGCACUGAUGAUAGUCAUUGCUUGUGGGCCUUUAUCCAUUUCCACAGUCACACAAUCAGUCAGUAGCCGAACUGGGUUCCAUGCAGUGACAAAACAAAUUAACCAAAAAAGCCUCAAAAACGCAAAAUAAAUUGUAGCCUUAUGAGGCUUUGCCCUCGGGUGGGAAAAAUAUUGCGCCUGGGAAAGGGAAGUGGGAGUCAACAAACACUCAAGGAAUAGUUUCGGAGAAAAGGCUUUUAUUUCUACCAUCCAUGAACUGGUAGAAGGAGCAAGUGUGAUAUGUCACAAAAAGCAUGAAUGAAGUUCACAGUCAUGUGCACAAGCAUAUAUACCCCUUUCCAGUUCCCUCCUCCUCUCUCCUCCCUCAGGACUCCUGCCCAUGAAUUCCUCUGAGCAUGAACAGAAAGCUGUCUUGGGACUAUUGUGGACUCUUGGCACCCUUCCCAGGAAAGGGGUUUCAGCAUGUUCAGAUAGGUUUCAAUCUCUUGUUCUGGCAUGGUUCCCGGACAGAAAGCAAGUUGCAAUGUGGUUCUUUAGCAAGGCCAGAAGGCAUCAGAAAGGCCUGAGAAACAAUGGACUGUUCUCUACCUUUGUUACAGCAGAGCGGAAUGUUUCUGAUGCUUAGCUGCUGAGAAAAUAAUUUUGAAAAGCUCUGAGAAGCUUUGAGCCUGCUUUGGUGGGGGGUGACUUCGGGCCUAGGUGAGGUCACCUGUCCUCACCUUCCUUCAAAAUAGCAAAAACAAAAGCGCCAAACUUAAAUCUGUUCCAGAAGUCAGUUUGACUUCCGAAAUGUUUGAAAACCAAGGCGCAGCUUCUGAUUGGUGCGGGUGCCCCAGAAACAAUAGCUGACAACAGUAUUGGAUGUUUGGCUUCUGAAGAACAUUCAAGAACUGGAACACUUGUGGAUUUUUGGCUUUUGAGAACUAAGGCGUUUGAGAACCAAGGUACCACUGUAACUAGACAGUUACUUGGGAAGUUUUCCUUCCUUUUUUCCCCAAAGGGGGGAAAAACCCUAAAUCGUUCUUCUUCUGAGGAUUGAAGUUUGUUCAGAUUUUGUAGUGAGCAAUGGGACAAAGGAAAAACUCCUUUCUAAGCACUGGGCAAGUGGAAUAAUACAGUAAUAAUAAUAAUAAUAAUAAUUACUUGUACCUCACUCAUCUAGCCACUCUGGGCAGGUGGGCAGCUCCCAACAGAGUAUUAAAAACACGACAAAACAUUAAACAUCAGAUAUCUUCAAAAAGUCAGAUACAGUCAUACCUUGGAAGUUGAACAGAAUCCGUUCCAGAAGUCCAAACUUCCAAAACGUUUGAAAACCAGUUUCUUACAAGCUCCUAUUCCAUUUUUCUGAACAAUGAACAACCCCUCUAAGAAAAAUCCCCUACCAGUUUGUAUGAUAAUUUGCUUAAAAGUCUCAAAUUUAGACAGACCGUGGCAACCUGUCCUUUUUGUCCCAUGUAACGGAUACAUAUAUAUAUAUGUAUAUGUAUCCAUUCCCUUCUGAGAAUUGGUUGGCAGGGAUUUCUGUAUACAGUUGUACCUUGGAAGUCAAACGGAAUCUGUUCUGGAAGUCUGUUCUGUUGGCUUUUUGCAGUAUAGUAGCGCUGCAGAGAGCUUGUUGGGGAGACCAUGCAUAACCAGGAACUCAAAAAUAGCUUUAACAAAGGUUUUAAUAACAAAAACAAAAACUCCUUUUACACUAAACAACAACAAACAUCGCCCAACCACCCACCCACCCCCCAGGGUAAUGGGAGAGCUAGGUGCUGCUCCUUAUAUACUAUACCCAAUUGCUGACACAGCUUGAUUAACACAACUCAGCAGCACCUGCUGUGUUUUCUGUUAUGUACUGAGUUGAAUAGGAUCCAAACUGCAGCAGUCUGAUUGGUCCUAAAACAAUAGGAUCCAAAACGCAGCAGUCUGAUUGGUCCUAGAACAAUAGGAUUCAGAAUGCAGCAGUCUGAUUGGUCUAGUAGCAAUGAUUGGUUGGCAGGAACCACCCAAUCAUUCUCCAGAUAGAAGCGAAUCCACAACCUGAUUGGCUUACAGUAGAAUUCCGGAAUUAGCCAAUCAUGCGCAGCCCAUUGUGUAAAUAAUGUAUAUAAAGCAGAUACUUUGAGGGGACAUUCAUUCAUUCCUCCUCACCACUAUGAGGUGAAUAAAGAGCAUGAAAUCACUUUGCGACUCUGAGUAUAUUUCAGUUUCACAGCUGUAAGACUGGGUCUCGUUAUUUGCCCUGGCCCUUAAAGACAUACACAACUUGUGAAAUAAUAAUGAACCUUCACAUUUUAAAGUGACCAUUCAACAUGUUCGACUUCCAAAACGUUUGAAAACCAAAGCUCCUGCAGCCAAUCAAAAGCUGCGGAAGCCGUGGCAGAUGUUCAGGUUUCAAAAGAACGUUCAGAAACCAGAACAAUUGGGAGCCAAAACAUCUGAGUUCCAGGGCGUUCGAUAACCAAAGUACGACUGUAAUUAUUUAUUUCCUUGACGUCUGAUGGGAGGGUGUUCCACAGGGCAGGUGCCACUACAAAGAAGCCCCCUGCCUUGUUCCCUGUAACCUCACUUCUCGCAGGGAGGGAACUGCUAGAAGGCCCUUGGAGCUGGACCUCAGUGUGGACGAACCCUCCGUCACGGUAGCGUACCCUCCAACAUUUCUCUGAUGAAGAUAGGGACCUUCUCUUCUACACCAGGAAGAUUCUUUUGCCAUUCGAUCUCACCACACCCAUGUACCUCAUUUAUACAGACGCACCUGUCACCUUGAGCCAAUUAUGACCUCUCUGCUUAACCUACCUCACAAGGUUGUUGUAAACAUAAAAAUGUGUGAGGGGAUAGGAUUGUGUAAGCUGCGUUGAGUCCCUGUCAGGGGGGAAAGGAUAUAUGUAUCCUGGACUACUACUUCAUUGGACCACUGUCCCUCCCAACAAGCAAUCAAAUGCCCUGUAGCUGGUCACACCCCCACCGUCUGUUUAGAGCAUAUGAUUUCCCCCAAGGAAUCCUGGGAACUCUACUUUGUCAAGGAUGCUGGGAAUUGUGGCUCUGGGAGGAAUGAACUGCAGUUCCCAGAAUUCUUGCGGGAGAGGAAGCCCCUUGUUUUAACAUAUGGUGUUGAUGUGUUGAAAGCCAUGAUUUGGUUUUGCCGUGCUUGUGGACAAUGCUGUAUUGGGGCGGUGAAUAGUAAGUGAGACAAUUUUAGAUUUUGGCCUGUGGACAUGUGGGUAGGAGAUUGCACCUGCUUUGUGUCUCUUUCCCAGUAUUUUUAGUGUGUGACCCAAACGGGUUUCUGGUUAGACUUUCUCCUCAGUAACCAUGACCUGUAGCCAAGAAUGAACCUUGGCUACAACUCCUACUUAAGGAGGAGAAAGGCAAGCCAUGAAACCAGGUUCGGACUACAUACUAAGCCAAACCUAAGCUAAGAGGGCUAGGUUGUGGUAUGAUCUCUUCCAGCACAUUUAUGCAAUCAUGGGAAGACAUAGUCGGCUUACUGUGGUGUGCAAACCAGGCUAUUGAAAGUUUGACUGAGUGACAUACCGGUAAUCUUUUUUUAUUUGUUUGUCCUGAAACAAGCUGCUUCAAUGCAGUGCAUUUGAGGGUGGAGGUACCAUUUACAGACGAGCAAAGUACUGUUUCCACACUUACUGCUUUCAUUCCCUUAUUACAUUAUUCUAUUUACCUUUCAUGGAGCUCAGAGGGCUGGAUAAGAGCCCUUUACCACUAGCAUUGGUAAUAUCCAUGUAACUACCCUUGGGGAGCUUAGGCAAAGAGAGCGUGCACAGGAGUGACUGGACAAGGGCCCAGUGGACUUCAUGGCUGAGCAAGAUUUGAACUUGGGCCUCCUUGGUGCCAAGUACAGCAUUCUAACCUGGGCAUUAGAAGCUGAUGGGAUUUGUGGGCGAUCCUUAUUCUAACCACAGCAGCACACUAGGCCUCUGGGAGUUAGAUCCAGAUGUAGCCAUCUACUUAGAGUAGACCUAUUAAGAUCAGUGGGACUUAAGUCACCAUUUACUUAAGUAUCAUUGAUUUCAGUUGGUUUAAGCAUGGCUAUGUCUGGAUCCAAUUUUCUGAGAGCAAAUGUGGUGUAGCAGUUAGUAUGUGUAAAAUGCUAAUAAUUGAUGGGUGACCAGCUUCGAUAUCAUACUGGACCUUGCCUUGGUUUUCAAUAAGCAGGUUGCUAUAGUUUCUAGAACAACUGUCAAUUGUAUCUACUGUGCAUAUUGUUUUUCCCUUUUAGAAAAGAUAGAUGCUUUUAAAUUUCAGGGUUUGAUGAUAGUAAUAUGAGCUAUGAGCUGUCUCAGGAGCUUCAGUUAGUGCAAAAUUCUGCAAGUGUCUUCUGUUAAAUGCCAAGAGAUGGGAGUAAGUGUAGCUUUUGCUCUGUGAAGUAUGCUGAUUGUCAUUGUCCUUUGGCGCCCUGAAAAGGUGCUAGUUUUAGCAGUAUUAAUCCACACAUGGCAAGAAAUCCACAUAUUUUGUUUGCUCCCUUUACCAGUCCUUCUGUUCCCUCUAUGCAUCAAAUCAGACACUGUUUCAGUUACCAUUAAUAGAAACAAGUGGGAAUUGCAACAAAAUGUUGCAGUAUAGCUUUACUUCCUAAUAGGAGUUCUUGUGUGUUCACUGUACAAGCCAGCUAGCUAUGCCUCCUUCUAGCAUACUAAGUAUAAGCUAUUAGGGGCUUGUAGCAAGCCAAUGUCGUCACUCAGCUUUCCAUUCCAAAUGCCAUUCAGUGUUCUAUAGCUUUUGGUGAACAAUCAAACAUUCAGUAUGGUGGUUUCCUAUAUGUGCUAUAGUGGAAUUUAUUGUUUUCUUUCCUCAUGACUGGAUUCUCACUUCAUUACUACCCUGAUGCAUCUGGAUUCGGAUUCACCCAGCCAAAUUUUGCCUGGCUAUAUGUUCAGAGGCGGAUAUAGGGGAGCGCAGUGUGUUCAGUCAUACUGGGCAUGGAACUUCGGGGGCAUCCCAGAGGAUGCCGCAACUAUUAUUAGAAUGAGAGCAAGAGGAGGGGUGGGUGGGUGCAGUAUUUUGGUGUCGCACAGGGUACUGCUGAAAUUUGAGACCCGAAAAUCCGCCACUGCAAUGGGAACCAGACGAGGCUUGCAGCAAGAAUUUAUUUGUGUGGUUUUUGAAUCUGUUCUGGAUUAAUGCUGUAUUGGGCAUUGUCGUUUUCCUAAUUGUGGUAAGUCUCCGUCAGGAGUUCCAUUUUGUAAAUAUUUUAUAGGGCAGCAAGUCUGUUCAUGUGUUAGGUAUGCUGGCACCAGCGUUUCUUCACAUACAUGGCAAUAUCAUUUCUAUACUUUCUGCUUCAUUAUUGUAGUUAAAAUUUACUCUCUUAAUCCCAUUGAGGCCAAGUAGAGUAUUAAUACUAUGCCCGGUGUCAGAACUAGGCAAUUCAGAGCCCUAGGCCUAAUGAGUAGUAGAUACCAGAGGGAGAGAAGGGAGGGGAGAUAGGAGAAUAGCGGAAACGGAUGGAGUGAUUGGGGAGGGGAGCCCUCUGCAAGGGAACAGUUUAGACCUCUGGCCAAGAGCAAGCUCACCAUCUCCCAGCCUAUUUUUAAAUAGUGUUUCUUCUAACACAUAAAUUCCACAUCAUUCCUUGGUAGAAGGGAGCUGGUAUUUUCGGUUGGUUUGUUAGCCUUUCUGCUUUUGAUCUUUAAAAUUGUAUUUUAUUUGUAAAUGAAGCAUCCCCAGUAGCAUGUCUUUGUAGGAAGCUCCUAAAUUGUAGCAUCAUCAUGGAACAUGUGUUCCAAACAGUUUCCCAAUCUUGGUGAAUAUAGCUUGAUUGUAAAAUGCUAUCCUGCAUCAGAGCACUAGAGGGAACCAUUACUCCCUAUAAAACUGCCAGGUUUAUGACUUGUCUAGUGACACUGGACUGUCAGUAUUAUCUUCUUUCAGGGUUGUCUUCAUUGAGAUAACAGAACAUUUUAUCAGGAUGCUUUCUGUUAAGUCUCUGUCCUAAAUUAGAUUCAAUUUAUGUGUGCAGGAAUCCACUAAAAUGUGAUCCCCUAUCUACAUGAGUGAUGAAAGGUUGCACCAUAAUUCACUAUCCAUGUGUAUUUUCUGUGGCUGGGUUUGUAAGCAGAAUCGCAGAUUCAAGCUAAAUUUGCUUAUGUUAUGGAAUUGUUCCCAGAAAAUAGUUAUGCUAGUUCAGUCAUAGGGAUAAUCAUAAACUAUGUGUUUUGGUGUAACUUCAAAUAUUUUAUAUCAAAUAUUUGUACUGCUUGUUAACAGGGUAUAUUUUUGUAUAAAAAUACUGUUUCCUCAUAUCAAUAACUAAAAUGGAUGCAUAGGACGUAUUUUGCAGUUCAACUUUCCUCAGUAUGUGAAGCAUUUUACCACUGCAGUCAAGUCCUGGAUGGUUUUCACUUGUCCUGGCUGUUUGAAUUUAAUUUUAAUACCUUGCAGCCAAGUCACAUUUAUUCUAUCUUUCUCUGGACUGGAGUGCAUAGGUUAGAGAGUUCCCCUCUGCACUGCAGUGGUUUGAAUGAUUCCACUGAAAUUAAAGGUUACUGAAUAGCCCUGGAGCUCAGCGUUGCAGCAUAACUGAGCACAGUCUUGCCGCAGGACCUGCAGGGUUUGGUGCACAUAAUCUAUGUUUAAUGUGUGCUGCAUUUACAAGGUGCCCUGACUUCAGAUUAAAUUAUGGGCUCCCAGACCUGCCUUGCAAAUUUUCUAAGAGUUCUUUCACACAAAGAACUUUAAAGGCUGAAGUAAAAGGCCAUGUGUCUAUAAAUGAAAACAGCACACAAUUCCAGCUCCUUCAGUCUUUAGAGCCCUCUAUUGAAUAGCAGUUCUGAUCACAUGGAAUGCAAAACUAAAUCUUUGCUUGGCAUUAUAUAAAUGCAUGUUUUGGCUUUCUUUUCUUUGCGUAAUACAAUCAGGUUCAUCUGUUUUACAGAAAACCAUGAUUUGGCACUACAUGUCAUAUCAACCAAGCCACUGUCCAAGACAGCUCUGAAGGAGUUGAACCAUAUUUUGCAAGUUUGGUUUGUAGGACAGACCAUAAUCAUACUUUGUCGGCUAGGAUGUAAUUGCUACAUAUGGUUUGCUGCAAAAGAGGGCAAGAGAAGAGGCUGACAUUAUGUGUCAGCUGCAUAAUGUGGCCACAUAAUGCCAAAUGAGCUCUGUGUUUCUUCUUGCUAUGUUAGUCAAGAUUUCAGUGCAAAUAGUUAAUAGUUUAGGACGCCACAUUAUUAAAGGAUAGAAUUUACACUGCAAUAAUAGUUUUGGAAUAGACCUGUAAACAUCUUACACAGGGUGUCAUGGUCUGGUUUACGGGCAGUCGAAGUCCCGGUUGAGGAUGUUGGGACCAGGGGCAAGACGGCGGGGUGGGAGCAGGAAUGGGAGUCCGGAAGCCAAGGGUCCAAGAGUCAGAGAGCCGGGAGUCAAGAAGCCAAGGGUCUGAGGGUCAGGAAACCUGGAGCCAAGGGUCCAAGGAUCAGGAAGCAAGGAGACAAGAAGCCAAACACAGCAAGGCAGGAAGCGUGUUGCUGUGGCAAAGAGCCAAAGGGAAAUGCUGACCUUUUAUCCCUUCCCGGCUCUUGCCACCAGGUGCUGUGAGUUACCAAUUGGCCUCACCUGUGCGGCCGCUUCCCUCUUCAGAACAAACUUAGGAAAGCCCCAGUCCUGCGAAGCCCUACCAGUCACAGGGCCUGGCUCCUGUAAGCACUCCUAACACAGGGAUUAGAUGCCCAGAGUGCUCCUGUGUUCUCAGUUGCAAUAGUAUAUUUUCUGUAGCUUUUAAUGAUGAUUGGUUGAACUUAGUUUAAUAUUUUAUUGGUUUGUCUCUUUUUUGUGAGAUGUGUAUAUGUGUGUGUGUGUGUGUGUGUGUGUAUAUAUAUAUAUAUAGAUAGAUAGAUAGAUAGAUAUAGUUGUUGGCCAUCUUGAGAACUUCUGGUCGUCUCUGUCUUUACUGGAAUGGUUUUUAAAAUGUUUUUAUUGUUUUAUUGUUUGUUUGCUACUCUCAGCACCUUUGGGAGUAAGGAUUGAGCAUAAAUUUAAUAAAUUAAAUGAGAGGGAGGAUUAAGAAACAUUUUAAUAAAUAAAAUACUACAUAUUAGUGUGCCACAAAGAGUAUGAGCAGGGAAGACAUAUCAUGACAGACGAUACCUGAAGGGCAAAGCAGGAUCUAAUAUAUUAAUUUAAGAAAACUUGUUUUUUAGGGACAGAAGGGUGGCAGGCUUGAGACUUAACCUUUUCAAAUUGGUAGUUUAGUGAGAGGUCCUACUCAAAAUUUCUUGAUCAAGAGAUAUUAGUUGGCUUAUCAGGUACUGGGGGCUGUGCUGGACCCGGGGGGAGUUACCGAGAGGCGUGGUCAGAGUCCAGUCCUGGGUCAAGGGUCUGGAGACUGUCCACCAAGGGCGAAGCGGGGUCCAAAGCAAGAAGCCGGGCGUGGUCAGGAACUCCGGAAGAACAGGUCUGGGUGCUGGCAGAAACAGGUUUCCAACGAUGUUGCUCCCGCAACCUGGGACUGGGCUGACUGGCCUUUAUCUCCUCUGAGGCCAGGGGCGGUCCCGGCCCACAGGUGACCCGCCUCUCCUGGCCUUAAGGCGAGCACUCCUCCUGAGAGAACUUAGUUCCCUCCGCCUCUCGGCCCUGAGCCUCUGCAGCUCAGGAGAGGCUGGAGGGUUACUGGACCCAGGGGUAGCUUCACCUUCCCCUGACAGGGCUGGGAGAGGCGCACCUGCAGGCAAUGGGUCCUCAGUCACCUCCGGAGCCAGAGUGGAUACAUCUGGUGUCUGCUCCUGAGGACCCGGCACAGGUGCAGGCCCUUCAGAUUCAAGCCCCUGCCCCGGCUCAGCCGGCCCUGGAGGUGGGGACUCCUGUGCAGGCUGGGAUUCCUCAGGUUCAGCUUCUGAAUCAGAUUCCCAGGCCAUCACAGGGGCCUAUUAUCUGCCUUCUGUGAAGGAUGUUGAUGACAAAAUCUGUUGCAAGCCCUUCUGGCAAAAAUCCAGAGUUACAGUGAGCAAGAUAAUAGCUCCUUUUAGUGAUUAUGGAUGUGAUUUUGGUAGGGUUUAGUUCCCACAUGGCAGUGCUGCUCAUCUUGAGUGCAGCUCAUCUCAAAAGUCGUUAACAUUUACAUAUUUCAGUAUGUAAUUUUCCAAAUUAUUACAAAUCAAACCAAAUUACUUUGAUACAAUUUCUUAAAAUCAGGUUUCCCACUCCUAUCGCAAACAUAUGUCGAUCAUUUCCUCUGGUAGCUGCAUCAUCUCUUAAUUAAUGUCCAAUUGACACCUUCACUUGCCGUUAGUCCAUUCUUGCAGCUGACCACAUUUUUUUCCUCCUUACAAACAGCACCUCUAUUACAUCUUAUAAAUAUAAAAUCCAUUUCACAUGUGUAGUCCUUCAUAUACAUUGUUUUUUCAGACCUGGUGUGCUGGGAGCAUUAAUUACUAUCUUCCAUUGUUGAGUUCUUUGCAGUAGUUAUCUGGAUGGGACAAGGUCACAUUCCAUUCCUUCCAUUCUUUACCAACUAGCGUAUAAGCUGCAGCCAUAAAUAACUCACAGAGUACAUGCCCAGUCUCUGCCAUUAAAAUUCCACUCUGGAGUUUAUCCUCAGCACACAGUUAAAAACAAAAUCUUUUCUCAAAUUCAGCCUCUUGCCAGAUCUAUUCGGGAGCUGUUCAUUCUUCUUGCUCUGUAUUGUUCCCUCACACUCGUGAUCCAAUCCAAAGAUAAUUUUAAAUAAAGUCCAUUCAACCUCGGUCGAGGGGGAAGGGCAUAAUAAAAGCUUGUUAAAUUCCUUGUUGAGCAUAAAUCAAAAGCCGCCUCUUUUCCACGUUAACAGCCACAGCUACACAAGUCUCUUUCAUUUUACAGGGGAGGACAAGAAAAAAGUAGGCCAUUUGAAAACCAUAUGAAAGCACCAAGCACCUUUGUCCUCCCCCUUCCUUUCCCCGCUGUUGUAAGGAUUCUCAAGCUUCAGAAAAAAAGAUUCAAAUACUGUCAAAGGGCAAAACCUAGUCCUUUCGGCAGCUGAUUAAUUGCAGCCCAUUGUCAUAUGUUGGUCUAGAAGUGCCUCUUGAUUAACGCCAAUAUUCCAGAUUAAGGAGGAACCAACCAUAAAUCAUGCCAGAGAUGGAGGCUCGUCCAUGGUAGGGACACACUCACAGGUUGCACCUUUUCUGCCUUUCAAGUUUGCAGACACAGGCUUGAGCAGCACAGUGGGAUGCAGUGAGCUCCCCAGACCCCACUGGAGAACAUUUCCAGGAUUUUUGCCUCAUAACCUGCCUGAACCUCCCCACUGUCUGCAGAGGGCAGCGGGCGGCAAUCACCAUUGACUCGUGACAUAGCCGGGAACCCCAUAUUGCUUCUUUCUAUACUGCCUCAUCAGUUGCUCCCACUUCCUUAUUACAGUGGUACCUCUGGUUGCGAACGGGAUCCGUUCCGGAGGCCCGCUCGCAACAUGAAAAGAGCACAACCCGCAGUGGCGCGUCUGUACACAUGCGGGUUGCGAUUUGCCACUUCUGUGCAUGUGCAUGAUGUCAUUUUGCGCUUCUGCGCAUGCGCGAGUGGCGAAACCUGGAAGUAACCCUUUCCGGUACUUCUGGGUCGCCGCUGGAUGUAACCUGAAAGAAUGUAACAUGAAGCGGAUGUAACAUGAGGUAUGACUGUAUUCUCCCCAUCACUUUCCCCUUUAUUCAUGACAGAAGAACCUCAUUGACUUGUGGUCAGCAGGUACCAUAUUUUUUCAUAGCUCUGCUCCUGCUGAAGCAGGCUCACUGGAUUUUGCCAGCAAUUAUCCUUCCUUUCAGUGCCUCACAUAUCUUCCUCCUAUCAUUGUGGUUAUGAAGGCAUUCUGCAGAUUCUGAAAGACAGAAUCUGUGUUGCAAAUUGAGGGGCAGAGUGCUGCCAGGAACUGCAAAAGGUUUUUGGGUAGUGGGGAGAAGGGAUCGUGUUUGUGGGUUUAGAACAGUGGUUGGUAAGGAAGGACUGGUUAGAGGUAUAAACAGUCUCAAUUUCUAAAAUAUUUUUGAGCUCAGCAAGUUCCUGGUCUAACAAAUAGUACUAUGAUUGUGUGUUUCAAACUUGGGCAACACAGAAACAGUUCUUUAUAAUAAAACAGUAUUGAACUGGCUGAUAGAUCAAGUUAAGCAGUGCUACAGUUCAUCAGCUCCCAUUUAGGUGUCAUAUGAUCUAUUCCAAGGUUUUCCCUGGAAGGCUUUUGCCUUGUUUUUAAUUGCCAUGUCUAUGGUCCUCUGGGAGAGAAUAGGGAAAGAACUGUCCUGAUUGCAACUUGAAUAGUUUGUAUAAUAAUAAACUUAUGUUAAACUUGGAUAGACUCUCAGAGACUUCCUCCUGGUGGAGGCCAGAGUCUCUCAGCAAUCACUUUGUUGGCAGACAGCUCAUUUGAAGAGCAUCUGUUUCAAAUUUAUCGUUCUCUGUUGUCAUACUUAAGUAUAACAGAUUCUGGUUCUUGCUUCUCUUCUCUGCAGACCCUUUUACCAACUGCAGCCCCAGCUGAGCCUUCUCCCAGAGGUCUCAGUAACACCUUAGGCCAGCCUGCCCCAACGGACAGAAGAGCAGGUGCUAAGCGGGCUAUAGAUAGUGGAGUAAUUCUCUUCCACAUCCCAGAACACACACAUGGGCAUGCAGGGUGCCACACACAGCUUUCCUAUUACAUAGCCUCUCAUUAGCUUGAUGUGUGGGGGGUUAUUGUAAUGAGGGGAUCUGUGGUGUCUGUAACAAAAGAUCUCAGUAGUAAUAAUGAUAAUAUUGGAGCUGGGUGGACUGUGAUGAGCCAAACUCACACACUGACACUGCCAUUACUACAACAGAAGUGUUCUGUAGAAAAACUUUACAUUUUCUCAGUUUUUCAUGCAUUGAACUGUGUCCCUCUGAAACUUCCUAAGGUUUUGCCAUAUUUCUCUCUCACCAUUUCUUAGAUCAGUGCAAAAUCUCAAAUGAAUCUAGAAAACCUUGCCUGUGCUUGACAAACAAAAAGUUUACUUAUAUGUAACAAAAUAUGGUAAGCACUUAAAUGUAUUACCCCAAUGCAAAUUAUGAUCACUUUAGCUUGUGAUCAGAUCUUUAUAAUUGCUGGUAGAAGGAGAUGGCAGAAGAUUACUCCUGAGAACUAAGAAUUGUUGAGGCAGGUUCGGUGAGAAAUGGAGAAUCUCUGAUUAAUAUAUCCUCUGAAAGCAAGCAAGGUGAUUUUGUACCAGUGUAGAGAUGUUGAGGGGUAGGGAAAGGGACAUAAAACUAAACUGGGCAGGCGGAAUGCAAUAGAGUAUUUUGAAAGAGGUCGUGGCUGGGUACCUUGAAAGGGGAGGGGGGAUAUUUAUUUAUUUAUUUAUGCAAAUCCCAUCUCCCUUUCUAAUCAAAUCAUGCAGACAAUUCCUCCUACUGAUCUACAUUUGGAUGUAGGAAUGCAUGGAACAGAUCAUAUGCUCAGAAUGUCUUCAUAAAAAUAAGAAGUUUCAAAAUCAGAAAUAUAACUGGCCAGGGGAUGGAGAAGUAUUUGCAUAUUUUAACUUUUUACACCUGAGACAGAACAGCUACAAUCUUGCAUAGUAAUUGCUCUGAAAUGCAGGCAUCCUUUGACCGCAGUGCUAAUUUGUUGCAGUAUAUGGAGUUUGCAGACAGGGAAGACUGCAGCCUUCCUCAGUUCCUACUUACCAUUUAUAGCUUUAACCCACUUCUCAAGAAAAUAGAAGAAAUCUGGGAGCAGCUCAUUUUGAAAGAUACAGUGCAAUCCAAUACAUGUCUGCCCACAAGUAAGUUUCAUUGAGUUCAGUAGCGCUUACUUCCAAGUAAGUGUGUAUAGGAUUGCAGCCUAAAACAGUAUUUUCUGCUAUUUUGCUCUUUUCUGAAGGAGAGCUAGCUUGGCUGCGUGCCCACCUGCCUGCUGGCCUAUUGAUCCCCUCAAUGAGGGAUUUGUAUGCAUUUGAUUGCAUAUUUUUCUGCUUCUGGUAACCUUGUGCCUACCUUGUCCACUGCCAGGGAAACCCUGUGAAAAGAAGAUUUAUUGAGAAAUUCAAAGUAGUGCUAUAUAAAAAUAGAAGCUAGCAGCUCUUAGCUUCUCUUUCUUGCCCUUUCUAGUUUAAAGCAUUCAGAAGUGAAAUAUCUGAAUGCAGCAUAGGCCAAGGGGGACCUCAAAUUAAGUUUCCUUCCUUUUUUUCAGAGAGUGGUGGAGGGAAGGCCCACACAUUUUGUGAGGGUUUAUCUGAUUUUUACUACUGAUUUACAGCAAGCUGGGGCCAAAGUACACAUGAUGUGGGAUAUCUAUUUUCAGACCUCCAAAUACUUUUUUUAAAAAAAGCAAAGCUUAAAAGUAACUGGGUAUGGCUUGGGGCCACAGGACUGAGAAUGUGUAGUCUUUGCCUCCCUUACUUAUUUCUCCAAGUAAGUAAUAAAUAAAAAUAUAUUGCCCAAUAUCACCCUUUGAGAUUGCUAUAAUGGUCUUGCUGGGUAAAAAAGACAGAAACAACAAAGGUAUAUUUUCUUCCCUGUGGAGUGUGUAAUUAAAAAAAUAGCACAGACUGACAGCACCACUACCUUAAUCCAGUUUGUUCAUAUGGUUGCUUUUAAGUUUUUUAAAAGCAACCUUUCUGGUUUUGAGCCUGGAGAGCAGCUUGGUGCAUAAUCCAUGAAAUUUAGGAAACUAUUUCCUUCAUACCACUUCAUGGUUGUAGAAUGUCUUGCCAGAGCCUAUGGAACAAAUGUAUUUAUUGUAAGGGAAGGGCAGGAGGGGUGCAUUCAUAAACCAGGCUCUGGUGUCUUGAUGUCCUGUACCAGUUGGUCCCUUACCUUUCCUGCCCUGACCUGGCCACAGUGAUCCAUGCGACGGUCACCUCCAGGCUUGACUACUGUAAUUCGCUCUACGCGGGACUGCCCUUGAAGCUGUCCCAGAAACUUCAGCGGGCGCAGAAUGCUGCAGCGAGGCUCCUCACGGGGUCUCUGCCAUGGGAGCAUAUUCACCCAGUGCUUUUCCAGCUGCACUGGCUCCCGGUGGAGUACAAGGUCAGAUUUAAGGUGCUGCUUUUGACCUUUAAAGCCCUUCACGGCCUAGGACCCUUGUACCUACGGGAUCACCUCUCCCAGUAUGCCCCACGGAGAGCCUCAAGGCCCAUAAAUAGCAACACCCUAGUGGUCCCGGGCCCUAAAGAAGUUAGAUUAGCUUUAACCAGAGCCAGGGCCUUUUCAACUCUGGCUCCGGCCUGGUGGAACGCUCUGCCUCAUGAGACCAGGGCCCUGCAGGAUCUGAUUUCUUUCCGCAGCGCCUGUAAGACAGAGUUGUUCCGCCUGGCCUUUGGUUUGGAGCCAAUUUGAUUCCCUCCCUCUCUUUCUUUUUUCUUUUCCUUUCUCCUCCUGCGAUGAGGCUACAUUUUAAUAUUUUUAUGUUUCAAUAUUUUAAUGUUGUAUUUUAAUUUUGCUUUUAAGUUGUAAUCAUUCAACUUGUUUUUAUUAUUGCUUGUUAGCUGCCCUGAGCCCGGCCUUGGCUGGGGAGGGCGGGGUAUAAAUAAAAAUUAUUAUUAUUAUUAUUAUUAUUAUUAUUAUUAUUAUAUUACCACUGGUGCCUUGCCAAAUAUGGGGAUCAAGGGCACCAUCUAGGCUGCAGUACCCGUCAGCCUGAAUACAGUAGACUAAUUUGGAACAGCCAUUUAUUACAAAACUUGGGCCUCAGAAGCUGCUUUUUAGUCUGAGCAAUUUUCCAGGCCAGUGGGAAUAGCAGUGCAGAUGGCUCCUUGGGUCCUGAUUUGUGUACUUUUGAACUGGUCCUGACCAUAUCCCUCCUGUGCUGAAAAUCAGCUUACCUGUAUCUUUGCACCAAACACCUGGAGCAGACUCCUGAGGCCCAACAGUAUAUUUAGAAAAUAUUACAUAAAUACAAAAGAGUAACAUAAAAAAUUUUCUGUGUAAUUUUCUUUCUGGUGGAAAUCCCUGCCACAUUUAUUGGACUGAAGAAGAUUUCCAUGACCACAUUUGAAGAAUGUACUAAGUUGCUAUAAAACAUAGUUACCAUCCUAGUUUCAGAAAAUGUAAAAUUCUUACAUCACAUCUACACCAUACAUUUAAAGCACAUUACUUUUGUAAAAGAAUCCUGGGAACUGUAGUGUACCCCUUACAGAGCUACAGUUCUCAGCCUCUUUAAUUGCAAUUCCCAGGAUUAUAUGGGAUAAGCCAUGUGCUUUAAAUGUAUGGUGUGGGUGUGUGACCUUACAUAGUUUUGAACUUUAUUCAAGUUCAAAUUUAGAAUUUCAGACAGUUUAGUCUGGAGAAGAUUAUGAAUCUCAAGAGCUUGCACACUCUUUAACUUAGUGGUGGGAACCUAUGACUCUGCAGCAUAUAUAGUUGGACUACAAUCCCAUCAUUUCUGACCAUUGGCCUUGCUGCCUUGGACUGAUGGGAGCUUGAGUCCUACAACAUUUGCAGGGCCGCAGGUUCCCCACCUCUGCCUUAAGUUGAACAGAGGUUAUCCGUCACUUUUAACACCCCUUACCACAAAUAAAUAAGCAUCUAUUCCUAUUAGUGACUCCUUGCAAUCUGGAAAAGCAGUAAUUGCAUAUCAUUAAUUGUGUUUGUGUUAAUACAGACCUCAGCAGUCAGGGCUGAUAUAAUAGCUGUUGUCAAAAAUGAAUUGGUACCAUCUGGCUUUGUUGGGUUGCUAUUGGGUUCUGCCGCUUUGUACUGAAGUGAGGUCUCCAAAAUGCACUGAAUGAGAAUAGAUGAAACAACUAAUUGACUCUCUUUUCUCUGUCAUCUUGGGUACUUCAGAGCUAUGAAAACGCACAUGUACUUGUCAAGUGGACACAAAAAAGAGGUCAAGAUGUCUAUUUUACUCUGGCCAGGUCAUGACCUGAGGCUCUGUGGCCAGUGUCUCCAAAUCCCUGUAAGGCAGUGGGCCAGUAGUGAGCCUGUGUGUGUAAGAAACCCUCCCACUGAGAAUGUAAUUAAAGCAGCUUGGAAACAGAGGGGGAAACUCUGCAUUCUCUAGGGCUCAUUUUAUUCCAGCUUUGAUUAAUGAGGUUGGGUGGAGUUAAUGAACAGGGAGUUUAAAAGAGUGAGCAGCCCAAGCUGAUACAUCUCCUUUCUCUUGGGAACUUGCUAAGGGUUAUGGGCAGCAACAAUGAUCCAGCAAUGGGGGUUUGGGGGAUCAGGUGCUGUCCCUCUCUGCUUAGAUCAUUUAUGCAGAGAAUUAUCUCCAAUGGUAUUUUUGCUGCUCCUCUGUGCAGGGCACAACUGACUAACCUCUUCAAUUUUGUAGCUUGAAGAGCCAGUGGGAGCUCCUUGAGCAGAUCAGGCCAUCAUGAAGCAGUUAACUUUAGUCUUGAUUCCCUUAGGAGUUGCAUUGUCUGGGCAUAAAACUGCCCUUUUCCCUUGUGUAGUUAAAGAAUGUCAGAAGUCCUUUUUAACUGAAACCAUCAAAGAGUAGCCCACGGGAAGACCUGCCUAAUCUAUCACUGCAGGUCUUUCUCACCUCUAAUAGCAAAGAAGAAGAAAUAGAUACUGCUCUGAACUAAGGAAUAUCUCCAUAGGUCUAGGGAGCAAUUAUUCAGUACAUGAUGUGGAACAAAAUAGUACCAUAGUUAAAACACUACUGUGAAUCUUUGGGGCUAAUUCCCAUUUUCAUCUAGCAAAUUAUCAAAUAUUUUCCUUUUUACUUUAUUACUGAUCAAUAACUUUCGUUAGAAUCCUAAUAUCCAUUAAAACACAAUACAUUUCUUCCUGAAAACGCAUACUUUCUGUGUACCUCUCUAAUCUUACAUUCUGUCUCCCUUUUUCUUUGUUGAGCUAUGUGUCUGCACUUUUGUCCCAAUAAUAUUCAUAGACAUAUUCUGCGAUGCACAAUUUAGUACCCUUUGCAGAAGCAAGUUUAUGGUCUCAAUGAUUGCAAACAAAUAUCUGAAAAUGUGGGCAGUUCUGCUAAAGAUGUUGAUACCUGAAAACUACCAUUGAUCAAAAUCUUUUGAAUUCACUACAGCUCUUACUCAUUUUCUAUUUCUUAUUCCUUCCCUUUAAUUAGCAUUGAAGUAAAACAACAAGAAAAACAAGCCCAGCUGUGGACCCAGAACUUCCAGGAAGGUAGCCCCAUUCUAAAGGGCCCAAUAAAUGUUACUGUGGCUGUUUUUGGGGUGGAAAUUAUAUUUAAAGAGGUCUGCUAUUGGCAAUGGUGCACCACCAGGCAUGUGUUCAGUAUCACCACUGGGGAUAAUAUAUUCUUUAAGUUGUUUGCCCUGGUACCUGAGAGAAAUAGGAACUGAGGGGAAAGAGAAAACCUCUAGGGUAAGAGACUAGUUUGCUGAAAGAGUUGACUACUUGCAUGAACCAAACAAGUGAAAAUGUUCAUUGGGUUGUCUGGAAGGCCCAGUUUAACAUCUGAUUCACAUUUUAGCAAUUCUUGUGAUGAUGUCAUGAUUGCUAUAUUAUAACAUAAUAUAACAUAUCAGUCAGUUUUCUUGUUGCUGGCACUAGAGUUCUUUAUAAAUGAUUUUGUUGCACAAGAUGGCAAGUAGCAAUUCACAAUCAUUGAAGGCCACAUUUGCUCUUUGCAUGAAGAUGGCAGCAUGUCCUCCAGGUGCAGAAAUGCCUCUUAAAUCUGAAUGCUGGUCCCCUCUUUUCUUCCCAGUAUAUAACACCAGUGUCUCACAACAAAUGUAACUGAAGAACCUGAAGAAAGAGACAAUGCAUGUGCUUUUGACAACAAGGGGAAAUUAUAAUUUUUUUAAAGAAGAAAAGGAGUAUGUGGCAGUUCCCAGUAUUUAUAGAGCCCCACCCCUAUUACAUCAUUAGAAUCGGAACAUAAACCUAUGAAAUUAGAAAAGAGUGAAAAAUAUCAAUGUUUCGUCCAGAUCCUAGGUACUGCACCCUCGCUAAAGGAGCCUGUAUGGAUGAUUCACUAAAUGAUUGUAGGAUGAUGUGUGUACCUGAGCUUAUGCCCCCAAAUUCUCUUUAUCUUACAUGCUGCUUUAUUACAAAAAUGACGACUAGACUACUGAUCCUAAACUGAAUAGUUAGGUGCCCAACCACCCACUCCAGAACCCAUUGCUCUCAACUGACUCUCAACUGACUCGCAUUCAAACCUUUCAAAUCCUCAUCCAAUCAUCACUCACCACCAGGAUUCCACAAUCUCUCUUUCCCCCCUCCCUCCUUAACAUUCCCAUAAUAAUUCUGAUACAAUUACCUUGUAAUACAAUGUAAUAGAGUUAUUAUUACAUUCAAUAUUUUAUACACACUGCUCCCUGUAACCAUACUGUUACUGCAGGUUCUCCAUCCCUGUUUUAAAAACCAGAUGUCUUCUUCCAGAUGAUCCUGGGAAUUGUAGUUUGUUCGAGAUUCUGGGAAUUGUAGGUCUGAGAGGGAAGCCACAAUGGCACGAAUCAUUUUGGGGGAAGUCAUGUGCUUUACAGAUGCCUUGGAUGCUCUUUAAAACAUACCAUCAUAGAAUUGUAGAGUUAGAAAAGGACCCCGAGGGUCAACUAGAUGAUUCAUGGCCGAUGGACAUCCAAGCACUGCUUAAAAACCUUAAAGGAAGGAGAGUCACUGCUUCAGGGCCUAAAGGCCUCUGGAACAGGAGAAAGCAAGCUUGCUCCACCCUCCAUGUAACAGCCCUUUAUACUUUAGUUAUUGAAAGGUAUGCAUAGUGUGGAUCUCAUAUCCGUGUUAUGAGAGUGUAAGCGACACAUUUCUCUCUACCUUUUCUCCACACCAGUGGUCUCCAAGCUUUCCUUGCCUCGGGCUGGUUUCUCGAGCAACGAUCGCACAGAGGGCAGGGGAGCGUGCGCCCGUACACACACGCACACGCUAUUUCUGGUGCACUUCCGGGUUGGAGGAGCACCGGAAAUAGCUUGUGCGCAUGCGCACUGGCCUCAUCCGACCCAGAUGUGCACUAGAAAACGUCCCCGUGCUGUGCUGCGCAGCUAAGAGCGGGUGGCCGUGGGCAGCAGCAGGGGGCGCCGCGGGCCGGAUAAAGGCGUCCCUCAGGCCUUAACUGGCCCCCGGGCCGUAGGUUGGUGACCCCCACUCCACACCAUGCAGAAUUGCAAUGGUAACCAGAAGGCUGGAGUUUGGAACCCAGCCAGGGCUGGCUCUGGGCAGGAUCCUUGCAUUGCCGGGGGUUGGACUAGAUGACCCUUGGGAUCCCUUCCAACCAUGCCAUAUUAUGAUUAUAUCAAGCAGCUAAAGGAACAAAAAGAUGCUUCUGAAACAUUUGGGAAUCAUAGGAACACUCACCCCACCAGUGGCUUCCACCAAGAGCUUGCAUCUUCCUUAGGAGAGAGGCAUGCCAGAACAAGGACGGAAAGGCUCAGAGUUCAGGUAGGUAGAAAUGCCAGUUGAGUGCCCUAUACUAUCAGAAUGCUUCCUUCCCAUGUCUCCCACCCUCAUGUGCCAGACUGCUGCUAGCAUGGCUGGGAGCCAGGCGCGUGCUGAUUGCUCCAUUUUCUUUGCAGCGAGGGAGCCUUUCCCCAACAUAUACUUGGUUCUGGCCAAAUCCCUGGAGAGACGUGAUGACCCUCAGGUAUUGGGGCAGAGGGAAGGAAGGGGUCCUUGUGAAACACAUUUGUGAGUCUGUGGCUUCCAGCAAGUGCUUUUCAGAAGCACUGCUCCCUCCAACAGGGGAGGCAGAGGAUAGCCAUCACGGCUAGUUGCGUUUGUUGGUUAUAGAUGCUUUAAAAGUAGGCACAAUUGUAUCAUGACAAAUUGUGUGUAGCUUAAGCCUUUAGAAAAGCUGUAGCUAUUCAAAUGGCCUAUCAUGACAAAGUUUAGCUGCUAACAUCCCUCUGAGGAAGUGGCGUAACAAAUGGAGGCUCUCAUAGUGAAGGAGGAAUCAAAUCCUUACUAUAUUUAAGUCAGUGCAAUUGACUAAUUCCAGGAACAAGUUUCAGGAAAAACAUGUAAGAAGGAAUAAUACUGCAAAUCCAAAGGAAUGGGAACAUCUGAACUCUUGGUAAUCAUCCAUUCCUUCAAAGCGUUUUUGCCCUGUUCUUCAGCCAAAAAAGGCUUCCAGAGUUGCUUACAAAUGCCAAUGGUAAGACAGUCAAUUCCAUGAAAUUUGCAAUCUAAAAUACAUAAACUGGGUUGGGAGGGAGGAAAAGAGCAUAUUUAGGCACUAGGUAUUUUAACAAGUUCUUUUUAUGAUCAGUGGGAAUGGAAUGAAUUGCAAGGUAGGAGCCAAAGGUUUCUGGUAUUCCCUCAAAGUCUAUGGGUCCUGCAGUCUUAACUCUCCCUUUGCUAUAGUCUGAUGGAAUGGCUGCAGAUUGAUGACACUUUAGCAGGGAGCCUGAUGGAGCUGGUGUUUCAACAGAGUUUAUGGAGAGGACUUGCAGUCCUUCUGAUGAAAUGGCUGCUUGUAUAUGUCAUCUAAUUUAGCUCCAGAAGCAAUAGCCUUUAAAUAGGAUGCCUUUGUAAAAAGAAUUACAGUAUGAGCAGGAAAGGCAAACAAACUAAAACAGAUAUUUGCAAGGCUCAGAUUAAAUCUGAACUUUUCAAGGCGGCCAGGAAUGCCACAUGGAUCACAAAAAGUGCCAGUGUGCUGUAGAGGUUACAGUGUUGGACUAAGACCCUAGAGAUUGCGGUUCUAGUAACCAUUUAGCCAUGACAGUGUUUUGAAGCUGUACUACAGAAAGCAAAGACAGCUGUAUUGCAUAUGUACACUUAGUUCAGAACUAAACAAGUUGGAAAAUGUGAGAGCUGGCUACUUUGUGUGUGUGUGCUGAAAUAUAAAAUGACUAUUUUUUGAAUGCUGCGCUGAUUUGCUCCAUUUUACUCGAGAAUUAGGGUGGAAUGGAAGAGUAUCAUUUGUAAGGUAUUAAUGUCUUUGAAAAGGAAAAGCUGGUGCUAAGUCUCUACUAACUGCUUUUUAGCCCCUGGUAAUUGUGCUUCAUGGUUGGAAAAGCUCUGUGUUUGUUCUUGCCUGCUUAAUUUCAGUUGCCUUUGUUAUGGGUAUUCCACUCCUCACAUUAACCAAAAUGCUUUAAUUACAAAGCCAUUUGUACCAAUGUUGGUUAAACAAAUCAGUGUUUGGAGAAAGCAGGAUUCUGCCUGCAGAACUAAUUUCCUCAGCUGGGUGGGAAAGGUUUGAGGGGGGAAAUCCCCCAAAAAGUAAUGUGGAGAUCUAAGCAAUCACAGCUGUCAGGACUCCAGGACGGGAGCAAUCAGAUACGUAAUUAUACUAUUCUAAUUACAGGGAUUACAGAGAUCGUGGCAUUACAAAUUGCAUGAGCUGCAGGCAUUAGAAUACAUUAAAUGCUUACUUGAAAGCAAAGCAGGUGACUAAGCCAAGGAUGCCCUGCUCUUUGUGAAGAAUAAGACUUUGUGUGGAAUUGAUGACACAUUCCCCUAUUAUCUAGAUUGAAUUUGGUGUGGAAUUCAGAUUCAAAUGUUUCAGUGAAAAAGAGAGAAAAGUUGGACGUUAAAAAAGAUUUCUAAGAUAGACUUUGAAACCUGAGGAACCAGAAGAAGGGCUGGACAGGAUUUCAGGGGGCUGGAGGUUAGAGCUUCAGAAGAUGGCUAUUGAGCUCAUAUACUGUACGUGGACUUCUCAUACGCCUCUGGCCACUGUUGAAACCGGAUGCUGGAUAGGCCUUUGUUCUGAUUCAGCAGAUUUCUUAAUGUUCCUUAUCUCUAAAGCAAAAAAAUAAAUGCAAGUACAGUGGUACCUUGGGUUACAUACGCUUCAGGUUACAUACACUUCAGGUUACAGACUACGCUAACCCAGAAAUAGUACUUUGCUUCAGGAUGAGAACAGAAAUCGUGCAGCAGCGACGCAGCUGCAGCGGGAGGUCCCAUUAGCUAAAGUGGUGCUUCAGGUUGAGAACAGUUUCAGGUUAAGAACGGACCUUCGGAACGAAUUAAGUACUUAACCAGAGGUACCACUGGUUUUUGCUCAAUAUUUGCAGGUAGCGUUAUUUUUCUACAUAUGGUGUAAAAUACGUUUUGAUGAUACUGUAUGUGUAGCCUUAAUGAUACUGAGGUAGAGAAAAAUGAAUGAAGCUGUAGGUGUAGGCCAACACUAAUAACAGGCCAGCAUAACCUUACAGCAGGGUGGCAGCGUUAGCUCUGUUGCAGCAAUAGCAUAGAAUCAUUGAAUUUUAGAGGUGGAAGAGGGACUAUGAGAGUCAUCUAGUUCACCCCACCCCACCCUGCUAUGCAGGAAUCUUUUUGCCCAACUUGGGACACAAACCCACUACCCUGAGAGUAAAAGUUUUAUGCGUUUACCAAUUAGGUUAUCCUGCCUUGGUGUCUGUUCAUUUCAUUGGGUUUCCUUAGAGCAGGGCUAGCAUUUGAAAAAAUGUGGUUUUGUGCAAUAUGGAAGUGAAGCAGACCUUUCCCAAUUCCCCAGCUCUUUGAUCUCAUUUCUUACUGAUAAGCAUAACCAAUAAAACAUGAAAUUUAAAGAAAUCACAAAAUCUUGUACAUGCACUUUGCUGUUCAUGUUACACAGAGCACUUGAGAUUUAAAACGUCUGUAUAAAAUUUGUGUUAUUCAUAACAAUUCAAGGGAGAGCAUAAGCAGAUCUGCUACCUUGCAUUAAAUUCUUAGUGUUUGCGAGAGAAAGACUGCACCCCAUAGAACUUCAGCCAACUUAGAACACACAGCUGUGAUUGAGGAAACUGACCACUAUAAACUAUUAUUAACCAGUGGUGUGCCUGAUAAAGCAAGUGGUUGACCUUCCUCUGUAAUACUGUUAUUAUUGGAAGAAUAGAAACAAAUUCAUUGUUUUGUACCUUCUUACCACAUCUAAAUAAACAGUGUCAUGAAAAGAAAGGAAAGAAAAUGUACAGAAGUAGAGGUUAGUCAGUGUGAUUUAGUGGUGUAAUGGUUAGAGCAGGGGCCAGCAAACUUUUUCAGCAGGGGGCUGGUCCACUGUCCCUCAGAUCUUUUGGGAGGCUGGACUAUAUAUAUUUUUUGUGGGGGGGAAUGAACGAAUUCCUUUGCCCCACAAAUAACCCAGAGAUGCAUUUUAAAUAAAAGGACACAUUCUACUCAUAUAAAAACACGCUGAUUCCCGGACCGUCCGCGGGCCGGAUUGAGAAGGCGAUUAGGGCGGAUCCAGCCCCCAGGCCUUAGCUUGCCUACCCAUGGGUUAGUGUUGGAGACAGGAAUUCAGAUCACUGCUCAGCCAGUCAUAGUGUCUCAGCCUAACCUACCUCACAGGGUUGUUGUUAGGAUAAAAUGAGGAGGGGGGAAACCAAGUACACCACCUUGAGCUCUGAAGGAAAGGUGGGAUAUAAAUGCAAUAGACAGAUGGUCUUAUAAUCAUUGCUCUUCUGUCACACAGUUCUUACCUUUGAACCCAGAUUUUCCAUUUAUAUUGCCAAUGGUGAUGUUGCGAUCUGGGAUUAACAACAUCACAUUUUUUGUCUACUAUUUUAAUGCCAUUCUUUUUCAAAGCUGAGGAAAUGUUUCAGGGAACAAGAAGCAAACUCAGGUGGAGUGAGAAUGGGUUGCAGAAUAUGUUUGGAAAUUGAGAGUCCCAUGGUGUCCUUAAUGCAUUAAGUUGAAUAGGUGUCCCAGCAAAAUGCAUUUAACCCUGGAAGAUUUCUGAAAGCCACCUCUCCUCCCAUUUGUGAUGAGUGCUUGUUUGCCUUUCGCACUUGUCAGUUCCCCAAGCAGCCCUAGAAAUGAUGAGUAGCAAACUCAUUACCCCAAAAUACAAUUUGCAAUUCUAAUACAGAUGUUAUCCAAAGGUGCCUCUUGCGCUUUUAUAGAUCUCACCACUGUAACCCCCAGCAGGAGACAUUCCAUGUUUCACAAUUGAUUUGCUUCCUUUUGCUAUAGCCGUAUUGGUUCAUUGGAUGUAAUACACAUAGUUUUAUCUCUAUCAUAUGAUGAAUGUACAUAUCAGGCACAUCAAGUUAAAACACAUUAAAAUGUGCGCCAUUAAUCUGCAGGCUUCAUGGUUUUUUCGUUUUUUUAAUAAAAAAAAUCUGAGUGCAUGUUAUCCUUGAUCCAGUUGUGCAUUUUAAAACUAGAAACAUUCUUAUGUGUAAUGCUUGCAUGCUGAUCUGAUCUGAAACUGAGAAAUUGAAAGAUGAGGAUGGUCACCAUGAUUGCAAAGUAGAAUGAGACACAAAAUAGCCAGUGGAAUUCUAUAAUUCUCUUCCUACAUGUUAUCUAGCCUCUCUCUAGCAAAGGACAACAGACUGAAUUCUUAGGGUUAUGAAGACUGUUGUCUUAUAACUAAUGUUGUCUGUUCUUGGAAAGUGAUAUGUAUAUCAGUUGAUUACUGUGAUUUUAGUGUUAAUAAAUGGGUCCGAUAGACUAUAAAAUCAGACAAUUCAUAAAUGUUCAAAUCUAGAAAAAUGGAUCAUAGUUGAUUCUCCCUAUAACAAAACAGUUGAACAUUCAUAAUUGUUUAUCACUUUUGAGAAAUACAUUUCAGAAGCUGAGGAUCCUGUACACACACCCUUGCUGAUCUGUGAUCCAUAUGGUAAUGAGACUGAGGCAAUAUAACUGAUUAGUGCAGCUGGUUAUUCACAAAGUAUGUCUCACAAAAUUUUCACUGUGUUUAAGAUUAGUGUAUGACUAUUAUAGAACAGCUAUCCUUUACCCUGGUGCAUUUUGGGGGGAGACAAACCACAAACCUGGGUUCAGACAUGGCUUAGCCCAUAGCAGUGCUGCAGAACCAAGGAAGGAGCACAGUGGCCAUCAUUUUUUACUCCAAGAACCUACUCAUUUGUGCUAAGUCAUAAAUCCGCUUGGUGCUAAAUGCACACUAGGCCUCUGAAUCCAAGUACAGGAUAAUAUGUUUCCUUGAUCAAAGUAAUCCAGCAUUCAACCUGUUCUAGGCUUAUAUGGAGGAAGUGCUUCUCUCUGCAUAUGACCAGAUUAGGUCAUCAUUACAAAGGACAGAAUCUGCUUUAUGUUCAGGAGGCCUAAUCCAUUCUUUGAAUUCAAAUGGCCAGCGUUCCAGAAGUUGUCAAAUGAUCCAUGAUGGAAUGUUAUGAUUGCAACCUGGAGAUUCCAUGUACCUAACAGGUCAGCAACCUCAACAGAAUAUAUUAUUAGUGCUUUAUCCCCCUGCCUUCUGCCCAGGCAGUCAUGGAACAAAAUGAGUCCUGCUGGCUUAAGUAAAUGGAAGAGAAGAAAGGACCAGUGCAGGGGAAACCUUUUGCAACCACAGAGUUCUUUUAAAAGCCUACGUGUUGCAUCCAACAAUCCUAUGUUACAUGGCAAACAGAAUCCCAGCAGCUCGUUUAAUGUUUGCUGUUUGCUGUGUUCAGUAAAAGUGUCUACAGUAUCUGCUUUCUGAGCAUCCUUAUAUCAACUCCUAAAUCUCCUGUACUUUUGCAAGUAUUUUGUGGAUUAUUUGACCCAUGUAAUCAUAUCUUCAUUUUCUGUUUUCUUAACAUGAAUCUUUUUGUGACUCCUAAUUCAGAGAUACUAGGGACGCGGGUGGCGCUGUGGGUAAAACCUCAGUGCCUAGGACUUGCCGAUCGUAUGGUCGGCGGUUCGAAUCCCCGCGGCGGGGUGAGCUCCCGUCUUUCGGUCCCAGCUCCUGCCCACCUAGCAGUUCGAAAGCACCCCUAAGUGCAAGUAGAUAAAUAGGUUCCCGCUUUAUAGCGGGAAGGUAAACGGCGUUUCCGUGUGCUGCGCUGGUGCCGGCUCGCCAGAGCAGCUUCGUCACGCUGGCCACGUGACCCGGAAGUGUCUGCAGACAGCGCUGGCUCCCGGCCUCUUAAGUGAGAUGAGCGCACAACCCUGGAGUCGGACACGACUGGCCCAUACGGGCAGGGGUACCUUUACCUUUAACUCAGAGAUAGGGAGCCUGUAGACUGUCAGAUGUUGCUAGACUGGAGCCCACCCCACCUUCUCUGGCCUUGCACUGAUGGAUUGGAGUCCAGUACAUGGGGGACACAGAUGUUUUACCCCAGCAUGCAUUAACCUAGUCCUCCACCUGUGCAAGAUUUGAGUGAUAAACAGGUUUGAGUGGUUUCUGCAAAAAAUGUGGAAUGAUUACCUACAGUCAACCUUCACCUUAUGGUUUCCUUGUUAUAGUGGCCAUUCUGUGUCAUGUACCAUAGUAGUGAUCUUGGUUCUGGGGCAGGGUUGAUUUAUUGUAAGUCCAUACUUUCUCUUACUCAUUUCUUCUCCGAUCUAAUCUGACCUAUCACUUUGAAUUACCUGGGAUGAGUCUUGCACUACCUUUUUGUGUCUUAAUUGCCCCCCCCCCCCUGUAUCCUUUGUCAAAGAUUCUUUAGCUAUGCUUCUGUCAGCACUAGAGUAUUACAUAGCAAAUAUGUAUUUUUUCCUUGUGCUUCUAAGAAAAUAGUGUGCAGUGUCUGUCUCUGUUUCUCUGUCUCUCUCUCUCUCUCAAUCUCUUUUACAAUUUGCAGCACAUCAAAAUGUAAUUCUAUUCUGUAUUUUGCUAGUUAUGUUUGUUCUAAGCAAGGUUCAUGAUGGGCAAAUCCUCCUGUUUGCCUUAUGACAAUCUCCCUGUUAGAGAGAUAAUAAGAACAAAAUUAGAAGGACUCUUGAUAAUCCAAGUGGUCCAAAGUGAAUGAGGAAUGCAAAUCAGGUGAACAGUUAAUUACUUUUUGAAAAAUUCAUUAUUUGUCUAGAGCAGCUGAUUGAAAAGCAGUGUUGCAAUUUAAAUUAAGACUAUUUGUUCAUUUCCAGAAUGAAAUACUGUAAUUUGACUUAUAAUCUGUUACAGCUUAGAUGAGUAACAGUGAUCUGAGCGCCCAAGGCAGCUUUGGCCAAUUGAAUAACAAAGCUUUCUGAUGAAGCAGGUAGAGGUGAAAUAAGGGACCUCUUCUUCUGAUUCUAAGAUACAAGCACACACACACUAGCAAUUAAUUGUUGUCACUGUUGGAAACACAAUAGUGCUUUUAUCCUACACCACUUGAAUUUGCAUAUCAUGUAUCAUUCUCCAUGUUGCCCUUGGACAUUAUUAUGAUUGGUUGGAGCAUAAUACACAGUGAUUCAUCUUACACAUGCAGCACUUUCCUUUUAAUGAAGUUACAGGCUUUGCAUAUGAGUUAGCUUAGGGUGACAUCACAAUUAGAAAAACUAUCAGAUCUUACUCUAUAGGGAAACAAGAAUGUUUCUUUGCUACUAAUGCAAUAGUCUGAUUCUUCUGAACAAUGGGGUGUUUAGGAGGAUGCAGCUGAUCUAAAAAUUUCCCUUAAAAUCGCAGGAGUGAGUUACACACACUUCAAAGUCAUUCUGGGACAUAUUGACUAUCUCAUUCUAUACAGCUGCAGUUGACACAUCCAUUUUCAAUUGGCUCUGUCCACUUAUAGCAGUCUGUGAAAUGCUUAUUUAUGCUUCAGACUUGUUUUCAGUCAUUCUGAUUUUGUGGCUUUUAACGUAAGUUAAUAUAUCAAACCCUUUUACAGUCAUGUUGAAUGCAAAGCACUCUGGACAACGUAGGAUUCUGUCUGUCUUGCAUUGGCACUUGCCGUUAUUUAUGUCACUACUUAUAUCUUGCUUUUCUAUGUUAUAUCUGAAGCAGCUUAUAACAUCAUAAAAACAAACUCAUAAACAUUGAAAUUAGCAAAGUGACAAUAAAAUAGCCAACAACGAAACCUAGUGGCCUCAGUUUAACACACUACCAUCAGAAGUUUCAAAGCUCAUGUUCUUGGAUGGAAUUAGUUCUUCCAUGUAUCAUCUAAUCUUAUUUCAGAAUCCUUAGGAGAUGGCAGAGGCAUAAACAAGCAUUUGUAAAUUGCAUGUCUUUUGAAAAUCACAGUACAAUUAAUUCAGGAAUAGGAGAAAAGAGAAGAGAGGUACUUAAGAGACUCCUUGACCAUAGCUCCUGGUUCCUUUCUCUCCUCUUCCAUGAAAACUGUUUGUGGCCUGUGGUGAGUAGGCUGCUUCAUGAUGUUAGGAUUGAAGUAAACUAUAUAUUUAUGCUGAAUUUCAUAUACAGUGGUACCUCAGGUUACAGACGCUUCAGGUUACAGAUUCUGUUAACCCAGAAAUAGUACCUCAGGUUAAGAACUUUGCUUCAGGAUGAGAACAGAAAUCGUGCUCUGGCGGUGCGGCAACAGCGGGAAGCCCUAUUAGCUAAAGUGGUACCUCAGGUUAAGAACAGUUUCAGGUUAAGAACGGACCUCCAGAACGAAUUAAGUUCUUAACCAGAGGUACCACUGUACUACUUGACAUUGGGGGGAGGGGGCUAAGUGGUUUAGGGAAAUUGUAAAAUCAAAAUCAAAUCUUGAAAGACAGUAGCAGGAGGUUGAAAUUGAAACAUCAUAAGUGAUAGAAAGGCUGGUUGGAGUGACUAUGGAAGACUAUAUACUACUAAUUUACUUCAUGGGUGGUUAAUGUGGAGCAACUCUCAACCCCAGCCAGAAUGUCAAGCAGCCAGGGAUGAUGGGAAUUGUAGUCCAAAACAUCUGGAGAUUACCACGUUGACUAGCCCUGGUCUGUUCUACAGGUUGAAGGAUAAAAGUAUGUGGGUGAGGCAGGGGAUGAGGGUUAUUGUGACUUGCUAGACAUGGCCUUGACAAUAAGCUGAUGCCCAACUCCCAGGUCUCCUAGUUUGUGUCCCUCAGUACCCAUCAUUCUGUGUCUUGUAAAGCUGCUCAUCAGACAACUGCACAGCUGCAGUUUCCCCCAUUGCUGUCUCCAUGCUAGAAACAGCUGCUUGUCAUUCAGCUGUUAAUGGGACAAGACCGGCUGGCAUCAAAAUUUGAGUUAUGGCUUCCAAAGUUAAUGACACUGGAUUAGCUGGAUGCAGAGGAGGGACUGCUGGUGGGACAAUGACGAGCAGUCAGAGGGGGAAAAGGGGGCAUACUGGGAAGAGAAGGUGUUGGAAGCUGAAGAAGCAACAGGGUUUAGUGAUCAGGAAGGGUCUGUUGCAGAAAGCAGUUCAGAAUCAAAGGCAGGAGAGAUAGAGGGCCAGAAGACAGAGAUGAGACUGGCUUCUGAAGAAGCCAGGGGGUCGCUCCCUCCUGUUGCAACCAGCUUCCCUCCCCCAUGGUCUCCCAGAAUACGAGAGAAAUGAAGAGGCCAGAGCAAAGAGAUACAAGACAGUGGAGCCUUAGGCUACUGGGGAAGGAACCAGAGGAGGAGCCUUAGAGAGCAGUGGGAAAGCAGGGGCCUUCAGUCCUUGCAAUUGCCUCAUUGGGGCAAGACCUACUGGGAAGAGUUGCUGUGAUCACUAGGCCUGCACUGUUUUGGUUUCUUUGAAUAAGGAGUUAACUUCACUGACACUGGGUGUUUUAUUACUGAACUACUCCUGACUAUGGCUCCUGUCACGGGGUAGUUAAUCCAGUGCAUGCAUAAUCUUGGUCGGCAAACUAAGGCCCAGGGGCCGGAUCCGGCCCAAUUGCCUUCUGGAUCCGGCCUGUAGACGGUCCGGGAAUUGCCACGUGUAUCUGAUUAUGAUUGUUCGGGCUGCACACACACACCCCCCAGACACACCACAGCGGCACCUCCACCCUCCCUCCUCCUGGCUUCUCCCCACCCUGCGGAGGAAGGGGACUGGGCUUUGAUUGGUGCCAGCAGCAGCAGCAGCGUGAUCGCUCAAGUGGCCGCCAUUUAAAGCAGCCCCUCUCCAGAGCCCUUUCGCAUGCCGCUCAUCACCCCUCCCUAGCCACCGCUGCCAUCCAGCCCCCCACAAGGUCUAAGGGACAGUGGACCAGCCGCCUGCUGAAAAAUUUUGCCGACCCCUGAUCUAGUGCUCUCCAGAUGAUAUUGGACCAACGCCCAUCAGUUCCAGCAUGACCAAUUAUUGGGGGUGGUGAGAGUUCUAGUCCAACAACAUCUUGAGGGCACUGUGGGUGUCUGCUAUAGACCUCCAAGCCCAGACUAAGGACUUGGAUGCUGCAUUCCUACAGCAGAUUACCAAACAUUUAAAAAGGAGAGAUAUAAUAGUCAUGGGAGACUUUAACUACCCCAGUAUCUGUUGGAACUCACACUUUGCCAAGAAUGUAAGGUCCAACAAAUUCCUCCAUUGCCUCAUUGUCAGUUUCAUUUCCCUGAAGGUGGAAGAAGCAACAAGGGGAUCAUCUCUCUUCUACCUGGUCCUUACCAACAGGGAGGAACAGAUCAAUGAAGUGAAAGUACUGAGAACCUUGGGAAGAAGUGACCAUGUUCUCUUGGGCUUAUUUUUACAAAGGCAAGGCAAAGCUGAGUGUAGUCAGACAUGCACUCUGGACUUUAAGAAGGUUGGUUUCAGAAACUUUUUACUGACUGAAAUCAUGGUCAGAAACACUCAAAGAGAAGCAAGUCUAAGCUGGAUAGGAGUUUCUUAAAGGUGAAACAUUGAAGGCACAAAUGAAGACAAUUCCAACAAGAAGGAAAAGUAGGAGGCACUUACUGUAAACUGGUGUGGCUGCAUAAGGAGCUUACAGAUGAGCUGAGAUGUAAGAAGGGCAUGUAUAAGAAAUGGAAGAAAGGAGAAAUCACGAAGAGUAUACACAAGUAGCCAACAGAUGCAGGGGAAAGGUCAGGCAGGCCAAAGCUCAAAAUGAACUCAGGUUUGCAAGAAAGGUUAAAAGCAAUAAAAAGGUUUCUUUGGCUAUGUUCGAAGCAAGAGAAAGAGCAAGCAAGUAGAAGGACUCUUGUGUGGAGAAGAUGGAGAAAUACUAUUGAGUGACUGGAAGAAGGUGAACUGCCUAACAUCUGCUUUGCCUCUGUCUUCACCCAAAAGGAAACUGAUGCCCAGCCUGGUGAUAACAGAAUAAACAAUGCAAGGAGGGAGCUGAAGGGCUAAAGGAGCUUGCAGAUGUGAUUUCUGGGCCUCUGUCUAUAAUCUUUGAGAAUUCCUGGAGAACCAGUAAGGUCCCUGUGGCCACCAUCUUCAAAAGCGGGGGAAAGGAAGACCCAGGUAACUACAGACCAGUUGACAGUAAGAACUAUUCGAAAGUGAAACGGACUCCUUUGGGAGAUGAUGGACUCGCCUUCCUUGGAAGUAUUUUAAGCAUAGGUUGGAUGGCCUUCUGUCAUAUAUGAUUUAGUUGAGAUUCCUGCAUUUCACAGGGUUGGACUAGAAGACUCUUGGUCUCCCUUCUAACUCUACCAUUCUAAGAUUCAUAGAUGCUAGAAACAGUUUGAUCCCUCUUCCUUUCAUUAAAUGAACAGCUUCCAUGACUGUUGCUGCUGCAUAUUUUCUCUGAACAUCUUUUCCAUGGGAGACCACUUCAGCCAGCAGCUGCACCCACCUCCUAUGAAUGCAAUCAUAGAUGCAGGGCAAUCUAUUGCACUAUAUGAAAAAUUAGAGCAUUUUUAUUCUUGUCUUUAUUUUGAUUCCUUCUAGGAGUUAGAAAAUAGGAUUGCUGAUUAAAAUGGAUACACUUCAGCUUCGUCCAAAGCCCUUCCUGACUGGCAAUAAGAUUGACCUGAAUCAUGCUAAUCAACAAUUGCUGUAUGUUAGGCUUAUGGAAAUACAACAUCUGCACAAAAAGGGAGAAGGAUAAUCAGUUGCUGAUUACAAAACUUCACUUUAUUUUAAAAUGAUUUUGUGUGUGUGUGUUUUAAGGUCAAUUUCUGUUGGGACAGGAAAUAUCAGUAUGAGACUCCCCAAGCCCUUGCUCAUUUUAUAUUAAUGAGAUCAUCUCACACAAUUGAAUUAAUAUUUGCAAUACAUUUGAUCAGACUGCUGGUCUUCCUAUAGUGACUUGUGGAUGGAUACAUUAUUCCUACCAUAUAGAUUUGCUGAACUCUCUUCAAUUAGAAAUUGCUUCAUGUAGAGAAAAGUCUGUGUCACACAAUCAAAAUUAUGAAUACUGUUUCUGAAUUGCAUUGUAGACUUUCCCCAUGAAUAUUGUGUGUAGCCAUCAGUUAACUUCACUGUAUACGGAAAGUAGCUAAAUCAGUUGUAAAAAUAUUAAUAUUCCUUUAUUUAUCUUAAUGCCUGAUCAAACUUAUUUAGCAUGUAUUUUUGAAGGAGUGUUUUGAAAUCCCAUUAGUUAUUUCAUAUUUUUUUUUGCAUCAGGGACAGUGUAGUCAGAGGUAGGCAACCUUUUGCUAGUAGUUAACUGAAUCUCUGCAGCUCAGGACAAAGUUGACUUGGGAAACCUAGACAUAUUUUAUAUUGCAUAUUAACAUGCUACAUCUAUUUGAAGCCUUUCUUACAUCUUUUUAAAUAUUGUAAGGAAUUUUGUGCGUCAUUGCUUCCUCCCUUUUUUUGUGGGAGUAUAGUGCAAGUUUCAGCUCAGAGGGCUCAUCCAGACUUCCAACUUUCCCCUGGGAGAAUGCGCUCUUUAGUGCUGAAUCAGAGCAAUCAGUAAUUAGGUUGUCUGUGGAUUGGCAUUUGCUCCAAUUCACCGCUAAAGAGCAGAUUUUCCCUGGCAAAGCAGUGGAACAAACAGAACACUGCUUGGACAUGUGCAGGACAAGUGGGAAACCACUUUGGACCCGUGCUUUCUGUGCACAAGACAAGUGGAAAUGUGGAUGUGAUGAAAGUCUGCAGCCUCUGGUUAUAUCUACGUUGCCACAUUCUACAAAUAGCUGUUGAAAUCUUUUGAUUCUUUUCCUAUAAGGAUAUAGAAUAGUUUGUGUUCUUGCUUGGACAUGAGAUUUGCUCCUCGUCUUUUAGGCUUAUGUGGCAUCAUGCCAGGAGCUAGAUGCCAUCAACUCCUGAACAGACUGCCUAAGAGAAGAGGAACUUUCUUCUUUUUACACAGGAGGAGUGACUUUUCCUAAUAUGUUACCAUUACUUGCUGUAAUACAUGCCUGCACCACAUAAAUACAAAGUAGGUAUGCUUUUUUUCCUGAAAAGAACUGGUUUGUAUCCAAUGCAAUCUGUCUGCAGGUGGAAAAGACUUUCCCUUCCUCUCCUCUCUUCUGCACCCCUGUGUUCCUUCAAAACCUGCUCUUGAGUGUUGGGAAAUCCUCCAGAGCAGAUUUUGACGGUACGCAGAUAAGAAAAGAGGAAGAUGAAGUCCUGUUACAUAAGUGGAAAUUUACUCAUGCACUGUUGGGUUCUGCCCAUUGCUUUAGCUAUAUGCAGAUUAAUGCAAAUUUGUCAAUUAAUUUGAUUAAGAUUUUUUUUAAUUGGGUGAGAGCCCUACAGCAGACCAAUAUUUAAUUUAAUGUGUGUAUGUGUUCUAUAUAAAAAAGACUUGCAAAGUGAAAACAUCACUGCCAUCCACAUUGCUGUCCAGAAAGUCAGAAACCAAGGCUAGUGGGUAGAGAUCUUAGAUGAGAGUGAAAAAUGAGAUGACUUUGUGUUUUUGGAAUCAGUAAAUCAUCCAGCCUCCUCCUGAAGAAUCGAGCCUUUUAUGGCUGCUCAGCCCCUUUUCAAAGACUGUUUUUCAUGCAACUGGCAGGAGGCAGGGAUCCAGCUGUUUCUCAAAGGACAGCAGGAAGUGGCAACCUCCUUGUUUCUACUGGUGGGUGAAGCUUGGUGAAGACUCUCACCCUUGGAAGCAGAAAGAUCAUCUGCAGACAUCUGAUGGGUCCCACACAGCCUCUUUGUAGCUAUCAGCAUGGGCUGGACUGAUUCCUGAUGGGCAUAGAGCAUGUGCAUUGAAACCCCUGCCACAUGUAGAAUACUAACUCGAAAUUCAAAUUAAAUAAGGAUAAUUAACAAUUAACAAAAAGCUAAGCAGACAAGUAAUUAGAUAUUCCCUGACUAGUGUUUACUGUAAUUUCGUGACCCAUUCAUAAUUAACCUCAGAUUGUAAAGUAUAUUGAUGAGAAGCCAAAGUAUAAACUUGUAUUAACAGUGACAGAAUAAGGUGCCAAUUAAACUGCAUUUCAUUCAAGCUUGGGAAAGCAAAGCUAUAAUGGGUUUUUAUUAUCUUCCCAUGCUUCCCUAUGCUUGGCACGUGCCAGAACGAGAUUAGGAGUUGAUGAAAGGGGAUAAAAAAACUGCCUGAUGUCUGUAGCAAGUUGGGGGCGGGAAGUAAUAAUAAAGAGGGUUUAAAGAAAAACAAUAAAAAUGUUAAGCAGCCUUCUGCUGUACAGGAGUGCAUACGCAUGCUGAAUAGGAUCAACACAUGCAUCCCAAAGUUAACCUUUUUCAGGUAUGGCCUGAAUAGCUGGGCUUCCAGUGCAUUCUUUUUUGACAGACAGCCAGAAAGCUAACUCGGAGGCAUUAUUAACCUAUCUGAAUGUCAUGUGCCAUUCUAUUGAUAUUUUGUUAAGGAUAAUCAAUGGUGAUAACUUUUUAUUCCCUCCAUUAAGUUUUGUUCUUCCUUGUAAGAAGCCACCUUCUCCAUAACAGCAGAUCGAUUCUACAACAAUGCCAAACCAAAUGUGAGAAACUGCAUUCCUAGGACUUAUUCUUUCUUGAAUAAAGCAAAGGGGUGUGUGUGAUUAAAUGAAACCCCUGGCUCUUAAUUUCUCUACAGCGUGGAUGGGGAUGCUGUGGGAUUCCAACACUCAUCAACCCCACCAAUGAGCAUGACCAGUGGUUAGGAAUGAUGGAAGCUGUAGUCCAGUAACAUGUGGAAGGCCACAGAUUCUCUUCCCCUGUUCUACAGAACAUUGCCAGUGACAGCUGAAGCUAAUCCCUGCCCUGUCCUUUAACUUAUCUUCCAUUUAAAAAAUCAGUUUAUUAGAUUUAUAUCCUGCUGUUUUGACCAUCAAAUCCUCCAGCAAUUCAAUAGAUAAUUUUAAAAGCUUACUUCUUACACCCCUCGCCUCAUUAUUCACAAUACUUUAGUUUUCACUGUAGGUUAUGGUUUUGCUAUAGCCCAUUCCUUCCCAACAUCUUUCUACUAUCCAUCUCCAUCUUGUAAUGGAUUAAAGAAAGCUCGUAUUGUUAGCCUCACAGCUCCUAAGCACAGUUCCCAUAGUUGCAUGUCCUCCAGACAGUUGACUCUUUUAGACAUCCUGCUUGGCAGCUGCCUGCUGUCUACUGUUCCCUGUGACAGCAGAAUUCUCUUUUAUGAUACUGUUUGCUCAAAAGAAUGCCAUUGAAAUCAGUGGGAUUUAUUCCUAGGUAAGUGUGUAUACGAUUGAAACCUUAGGCGUCCAUCCUAUGCCCACUGACCUGGAACUUGUACCUCUGUAGACAUGCAUAGAGCUAAAGCAGAGAGGAGUCAGGUGCUGUUCUACUUGUAGUGUGUUGUGUUGAUAAGUAUGAAAUGGCAGUUACUUGGAUGCUGUCCUUUCUACUCCCUUCUUCUUGGGAUAUCUUCUAAUAUCUGAGAAAGGGUCAUAACUUGGUGGUAGAACAUCUGCUUUGCAUUCAGAAUCUCCCAAGUUCAAUCCCUAGUAGCCUGGUACAGCUGGGAGACACCUUUCCUGAAAUCCUGGAGAGCUGCUGCCAGUCAUUACAUAUGAUACUAAGCUAGAUGGACCAAGGUUCUGGGCAGCUUUCCAUGUUUCUGUGAGGAGCCAAUAUAAGGAGGAGCCAUAUAAUGUGUGUUAUACAUGUGCUAAAGUUGGUUCUUCUCAACUUUGUGUGUACUCCUUAAAGAACGGUUUGUAUGUCCACACUACAGACAUUUGGACCAAUCCCCAAUCCCUGCUCUAUGAUACAUCCAGCUCUAAACCACUUACCCAUUGAUAAUCCUUGAGUAUCAAUAGCUUUAACAUUGCUUUGACAGCAUUGCCCAACAACUGAUGGUCAAAUCUGGCACUAGCCACUUAGGCAAUGUGAUUUGUUUAUGUAGUUGUGGGUUGGAAGUGUAUGUUGAGAAAAGAGUAUGCAGGUUUGAUAUGGUGCUCUUCAGAGUGUCAAACCAAACAAUGCACCCCUACCCAAAGGAGUGUAUAAUUUAAAUUAAAUUAUUACUUCAAGAAAGAAGGCUUCUUGGAAACAUAGAAAGUUGCUUUAUACCAAGUCAGACUAUUUGUCCAUCUAGCUAAAUAUUGUACUUUCACUGGUUGCAGCUCUCUACCACCUGAUGCAUUAACUGGAGAUGCCAGGGAGAUUGAACCUGAGGCUUGUAUGCAAAGUGUGUGCCCUUGCACUGAGCUAUAGUUCCUCCCCUUAAGUAAGAAUCAUGUCCCCAAACCAGAGGUAGGGAACCUGCCCUACUGCCUGACUCCUGUCCAAGCCAAUACAGCUAGUGAUGAUGGGAAGCCAACAGCAUCUAGAGUGCCAUAGGUUCUCAUCUCUGUUCUGAAUGGACAAACUUCAGCUAAGAAAGCUGCCAGGAGAGGAGUUCGAACUCUUCCAGAGACUGGAACUCCUGGGCCUGGGUUGGUGAAGUCUGGCACCUUUGAUCCCUGAGCCACUGUGCUGCAGAGAGUUUCUUUAAUUACCGUAUUUUUCGCUCUAUAGGACGCACCCGACCAUAGGACGCACCUUGUUUUAGAGGGGGAGAACAAGAAAAAAAAUUCUCCCCCUCUCUGCUCAGCGCCCCUUCAGCGAAGCGGCAGGAGAAAUGGAGCCCCUUCCAUUUCUCCUCCCGCUUCGCUGAAGGGGCGCUGCACAGCUCUCCCUCUCUGCUGAAGCCAGGAGAGUCUUGCUCUCCCGGCUUCAGCAAAAGGAACCUGAAGCCUUCAGAGCGCAGUGUGAGUUUCCGCUUUGCUCCAAAGGCUUCAGGCGGCUAUCCCUGAAGCCUGGAGAGCGAGAGCGGUUGGUGCGCACCGACCCCUCUCGCUCUCCGGCUUCAGCGAAAGCAACGCGUAGCCUCCGGAGCAUGGAGGGAGCUUCGCAUUGCUAUCGCUGAAGCCAAGGAGCCUGCAUUCGCUCCAUAGAACGCACCCACAUUCCCCUUAAUUUUUGGAGGGGAAAAUGUGCGUCCUAUAGAGUGAAAAAUAUGGUACUUAUUAUUAUUAUUAUUUAUUCAAACAACUAAGCUGGGACAUAAAGGUAAAGGUAAAGGGACCCCUGACCAUUAGGUCCAGUCGUGACCGACUCUGGGGUUGCGGCGCUCAUCUCGCUUUAUUGGGCAAGGGAGCCGACGUACAGUUUCCGGGUCAUGUGGCCAGCAUAACUAAGCUACUUCUGGUGAACCAGAGCAGUGCACGGAAAUGCCGUUUACCUUCCCGCCGGAGCGGUACCUAUUUAUCUACUUGCACUUUGACAUGCUUUCGAACUGCUAGGUUGGCAGGAGCAAGGACCGAGCAACGGGAGCUCACCCUGUCGUGGGGAUUCGAACUGCCAACCUUCUGAUCGGCAAGCCCUAGGCUCUGUGGUUUAACCCACAGCGCCACCCAUGUCCCUUAAGCUGGGACAUAAUAGAGGCUUAAAAAAUUAUGCAUGGUAUGGCUAGAGAAUGUGGAUAGUGAGGUUUUCCUCCUUUCUCAUAAUACCAUAAUUGUGGGUCAUCCAAAGCAAAAUUGGUAGUAGAUUAAAGAUUGACACAAUAACAUUCACACAACACUUAACUAAUUUAUGGAAGUUGUUGCCACAGAAUGUGGUAGUGGCUUUUUACUUAGAAGGCCUCUAACUUUAUGGUGCUGCCUGUUUUGCAUAUGAUACAGCUCCCUUGCCCAAGGCAGCUAAAAUUUCUGGUCAGUGCCUGGGUGGAAAACCAGCUAUAAAAUCCUGUAUGUUGCCUAUAACUUCCAUGAUAGAAGAAAAGCAGGAUAUCAAUGCACUGAAUAAAUAGAGGGGAUUAAUCAGAUUCAUGGUUGUGCAAUAUUUGUCAUGACUGACUAAAUCACACCUCUAUGUUCAGAGGCGAUAAACCUCUACAUACCAGUUGGGGUGGGAGAACAGCAUAAGAGGACUGUUGCCUUCUUAUGUGUAUCUCAAGAGCAUAUGUUUGGCCACUGUGGAAAACAGGAUGCGUGACUAGAUAUUCCUUUGGUCUGAUCCAGAAGGGCUCUUUUAUGUUCUUACUUACUACCAGCUCAGCAUGUGAAAUUACAUGAAUGUAUAAAGUACAGGGUAAGAUGGAAUUGACCCCUCUGUGUUAGAUAUUGAAUCUAAGGAAGAUAGCCCUGUCUCUCUUUAGCUGCUAUUGAAACCAUAGAAUGGGUCGUGUCCUUUGAAACAUCAUCUGCCUCAUUAUGCAACUAGAGCCCUCUCCCCCUGUGUUCUGACUCCUGGAUGCCCCCACAUUACCCUGUCUCGUUGGAGUGUGGGUCACUGCUGUUAUUUCCCUCCCAAGUUACAAGAGCCAUAAAAUUAUUCUCCAAAGGGAAAUGAUUGCAGCAGAUGCCACCUCCCCAGUUCCCUCAAGUUCCAGACAUGGAUGUGAUCAAUGGCAUAAACAAACAAGCGCAUCAGCGCUCCAGCGUCUGCUGUGAACAAGGACAAGUAAUCUUAAUUAAGGUUUUGUCCCAAAACUUUCUAAAAUAUGGAGAGCUUGCACUCUCAGUCUUAAUAAAGUGCUACAAAUGAAGAACUAAUUUAUAUUUAACAAGGCAUUUACUGGAUGUUAGUCAACUAAGGAUUGAUUUAUCUAAAAACAAAAAAGUGGAGAGUUAUAGCUGUCUCAUCAGCUUACAACUGUCAAAUUCUAAUAAAAGUUUUAGUCUAAUAAAAGUAAUCAACCUAGUGUAUGUUAGCAGGCACUAUACAUUUUGCUAAAGUGCUAGUGAUCAUCAGCAAGGAGGAUUGUAUGUCAUGGGGUUUAAAGAUUCAUUUUAUUUAUUCACUCUGAAGAUUCAUCUCCUAUCCAUCCAAUGCAUUCAGUUGCUCAGACUAUCUUACAAUGAUUAUAAUACAACUACUGUAUCCUGUAAUCAAACAAUUUAAAACAAAGUAAUAUAAAAAUGUAAACAAGCUCAGCCAAUAAAAGACUAUACAAAGCACCAUCUGCCUAGCAAUACAAAAGCUUACCAGAACAGAAAAGCUUUCAAUAAUAGGCAGAAAAUGGCAAGGGAGGGUGCCAAGCAAACCUUAUGGAAUAUGGUGUCCAUUGGGUGCAGCUACCAAGAAGGUCCUAUCUCUUGUCCCAGACAAGCAUUCCUCCAGGUCAGGCAGGAUACAAAAAAGGGCCUCUCCAAUGGAGAUUAGGGAGGAGACAGGUUAUUUAAGAUGAAUUGGCCCCUGAAUUUUCCUGGACCCAAGCCAUUUAGAGCUUUAUAGGUAAUCACCAGCACUUGUGGCCAGAAACAAUUUGGCAAGUAGUUGCAGGAUAGGUGUGAUAUGAUCCCAUGCUUGAACACCCGCUAACAUCCUUGUUGCCACCUGGACUGACGGAAGCAUCCAAGACUCUUCAAAGGUAGCCCUGUAUAUAAAGCAUUGGACUUAUCCAGUCUGAUUAUAUCUAAGAUCUUCGCUGAAUGUCAGAAUUCAGAAAAGAAUAGAAUGAAAGUAGAGUAGAGAAGGAGAAAUAAGGAAAUGUGUUUAAGUUAAAUGAAAAAGUAAAAUUGUGCUAAGAGAAUGGUUGGAAGUCAAGUCACUACAUGGGUGUGGGUGUAGGGUAAGUUUAUAGGUAUGUAUGGUAUAGUUAUAUGGUUAUGUCUUUUGUUAAGAGGGUAAGGUAUGGUAUUUUAUUUGAUUAUAUAAUGAUGUAUUGAAUAGUAUUGUAAUGAAUAAUGUAUGUAUGUCUUAUAUGUUUUACAUGUUAAUAAAAAAUAUUUUUUUAAAAAAAGAAUGUCAGGUGAAGAAAUAGGAGUACCUCUGCUGAUGGAGUUCAGUGAGGUCUUCAACUGGUUUGUGAUGUUUUCUUGAGGCGUUACAAUGUGCAGCCCUUAUUGCAAAAUUUUAUUUGGAAGGGAGCAGUUGUCCUGUUGGAGCAAACCAUCCUUGGAAAAAAAUAAGACAUAAGCAGAAUAACAUGGUAGAAUCCUAAAAUGGAAUGAACUCUUAUCACUUCAGACUGGAGUGCAGAUAGGAAAUUACCUCUUUUGAAUACUCUCUUGCAUAUUAUUUUUUUUUAAAUGCCAAACUCACAUCAAUGCAAGUAGAAUGCUGGGACAUCAAAAAGUGAAGUGGAUAAGACAACUCCCCACCCCAAUUUUCUAGUUGCAGGGAGAUUUUUAAUUUAACGCAAAAGAAUAGUUUUUUAUAAAAAUUCCUCUCUAGAUUCUACCACCACAUUCUAAUGCAUGGGAAUAACAAGCUUAAGUUUCCAUGUAUAACUGGGUAAUAUUUGUAGGACUAAUUUAAUUGUGUGUUUCCCCAUUUCCCUAAGCUGUCCUUCUUUCCAGACUUGCUGAGAAAGCACCUGGGGAAAGGGUCAUGCUGUUCACUUCGGUGGACAAAUUUCUUAAACAAACAGAGAGAUACUUAACCACAAACAGACUCCAGGAAGAGAAGUAUCUUCCUGCCAGGGUGGGAAGCUAGAGAGUGAGUUCAGUGUCCCUGGGUGUUUACAAUUCCAGCUGCCCUGACUAUGAAUUGCUUAUUUUUGGACAAUAGGGCACAGACACUAUAAUUUGGUGUGUGAUCAUUGACACACCCUCUCCUUUGUCUUCCUUUCAAAGCCAAUAUCUCAGGCCCAGAUGGGUUAAUACAUAAUGCAGACAUGCAAGUAAUUGGCUGCCUUUGUAUAGCAGUCAGUCAUAGCUCGCUGUCCCUCUGAUCCACUAUUAGUGGCCAUGCAAACACUCCUUCCACCUAAUUAAGCACAGCUUUGAAAAUACCCUUCCCAAUGAUGUUCCAGUCCCAAGCUAGUGAUUCACAUAUGAGCCCCUACCUGUUAAACCUGCAAUCUCACUCUCUUCUGGGAUAGAAUAUCCCGGCCCGCCCCCAGGUGACCCAGCUGCUUGCUGGGGAUGCUUAGGACCUAAAGGGAGUGGGGAGUGAUAAAUGAUCUUUAGAAUAGUCUGUAUUAAAGAGUUGGAAAUGGGAUGUUAAUAAACCCCAAGCCACUAAUUUAGAGAACACAUGCUCUCCAGGCUAAACCAGUGCCCUGAAACAAUGGCCAAUGAUAAACAUGGCCUUUGCCAAGCAACUGUCUUUCCAAAGGCAGCUUUUGUGCAUUUGUGUACCUAUGCAUGGUAAGUCCAGCUAAUUUUUUGCCCUGUAUAUACCAUUCACCUGGUGUAACAUGUAGGUCUAUUUUACUUAGGUGCUGUCCUGGGAAAGCCUGUCUUGUCUUUCUGCCAGUAACCUGAGAUUUUUAUAACUAAGUGUAGUGUUACUUUCUAGUAUAGUGUAAAGUGCUUGUCUGAACUAGGAAGAUUCAGGUUCAAAUCCCCACUCAGCUAUGAAGCUCCCUGGGUGAUUUCAUCUCUCAGCCAAAUCUACCUUAAAAAGUAGUUGUGAGGAUCCAGUUAGCAGGGAAAAGAACCAUGUACACCACUCUGAGCUUGAAGGAAAUGUGGAUAUAAUUUAAAGAAAAUGAAAUGAAUAAAAGUGUUCUUGAACCACUGACUACCCUUUGAUCCCAGCAGAAAAUAUAUUUGUAUUGCCAAUCUGUUAUAUUGAUUAGGAUUCUGGCAUGUAUAAAAUAUAUGGUGAUAUUUUUUUCAGAAUUGUGGUCAUGAGAACAUUAUCUCAAUAUAUUCCAACUUAUCAUGCCCAACACCUGCUCAUCUAAUGCAAGCAGAAAUGAUGAAUUUGAACCACCAGUGUAUCAGGCUCCUUUAUAUUUUGCUCAUCUGCUAGUCAUGUGUGCUGACGUCUCCAAGCGCUGCCCCAAGGACAUCCUGAAUAAAAACGAACACUCCUUACUCCUUUAUUAGGGAUUAUCAAAAAAUAAGAGGGAAAAUUUGAAUUUUGCUGACUCUGGCCUAGGGUGUAAGAGUGAAAGCUGAAUUUGGUCUAAUUACAAAGAGGAUAAUUGCCACAUUAGGAGUCCUUGAAUAAUGUUUCAUGUUACUGUUCUUUGCAGCAGGUAUAAUCUCAUACACCAGGUAGGGUAUCAAAUGCCCUGCAAAUAUUUGUGCAAACUCUGCUUUAAUUGUAUCUUCUCAAUUGGAUGGACAUAGUCCCUCUAUCCAAUCAGGACAAUCCCAGAUCUUGAUUUUCACAUGGUAUUUGAACAGAGAUAAUGUUGCCCUCAUCAUUUCAGCCUACUCAUUGUGCCUAAUAACAUUAAUACUUAGCACUUCCCAUGCACUAUUGUAUUGGAAUCCUUACAACAACCUUGUAAGGUAGGUCAGUAUUAUCUCCAUACUGCAGGUGGGGUGAAGGACCAAGCCCACCUAGUAAAUUCAUGGCAGAGGUGAGAUUAAAUCAGGUAUUUGGUGUUUCAGAGAGGCUCUCUUAUGCAUUAUGCUAUUUCAUCCACUAAUAAAAUUCAAAAUAUGCCUACUGUAAUAUAGUUUUGAGACUCUAAUUUAUUACUUAGUUGAAUACAUAAUCUCAUUAAUCAGAUGGUACUUUUUGGUGAAAGAAAAAUCUAACUUGAACACUGGCCAUUUCAAGACUCUCUCUCCAGCAGUUUAAGUAACCACUUUUCCUGAGGCUGGUUGUAGAUACACAGGCAAAGUAGUACUUCAGAAAGAACACAGCCUUAUAGCACCUCGGAGAUUAGCAGUUUUAACAUGGUAUCAGCUUUCAUGGGAUUCCAUUUAACAUUUAUACUGUUGUGAGUUUGGGGGGUGGGUAGCCUGUAAGCCUGAGUCCCUUCUAAUUCCUGGACUCAACCCUGAGUUAGCACCUGGAACCCUUGGAGUUUUGCAACUCUCAGAGAUUGUGGUGGCAUGCAACAAUACUAUAAACUGCCCUGUGAUCCUCAGAUGAAGAGUGGUAUGUCUAUCAAAGCAAGCAAGCCUUCCCUGUAAUGAAUGUACUGCUGCAAGAUUCUUGCUGUUUUUGGAGAGCUGUUAAGAACGUAAGACUGGAUUAGGCCAAAGGCCCAUCCAGUCCAGCAUUCUGUUCUCAGUGGCCAACCAGAUGUCUGUGGGAAACCCACAAGCGGGAGCUGAGGGUUGCCGUGCUCUUUCGACUUUUGAAUCCUAACAACUAGUAUUCAUUCAGAGGCAUACUGCCUCCAACAGCAAUAUCUUGUAUCCUUGCAGCACUGUUCCCUUAGAAGCUUCAUUUCUGCUUUAGCACAUGUAAAUGUGCUAAAAACAGACAAACAUGAGAAGGAAGAAGAGCAAGGUAGUCAACAUGGUGCUAUUUAGAUGUGGACUGCAGUUCCCAUCAUCCCUGACAAUUGGCCUGCUGACACAGGGUUGAUGGGAGUUGUAUUCUAAAAUAUCUAGAGGGCAGCAGAUGUGUCUUCCAUGAUCCUCACAUUCUUUGCCCUUCUGUGUCUGAUCUUCAGCUUUAGUCAAACACCACCUGGAUGACAAAGCCUUCUAAGCUUUAGGUGUUUGCCUGCUAUCACUAGCUUUUUACUCUUGUUUGUUUAUUAUAUAUAUUUGUACUUUUUUUUAAAAAAAACCUGCAAUGUAUAGAACAGUUUUCAACAAAUGUUUGCGGAGCGUAAUAAAAUCCACAAGCACCACCCAUAGAUUCUCCUCAAUUUUAACCAAAUCAUCCUCCCUAUCAUCUUCUAAGAGAACAGUCACAAACAGUCAGGGAAUGACCUCACCUUGUCAUUUGAGCACUGCAAAUGUUAAAAUAAUAAAUAAGAAAACAAAAUUCAUUCAAAACAAUGAAAGCAGACAGUUUUAAACCAGAAGUUUGAUUAAAAACAGCAAUAGGAAGACUACAUUUAAAUAUUAAGAGCAUGUUGGCUUUUAAAAAGUGUUUAGCAGUCAUCCAGAGAUUACAAGAGAAGGGACCAAGUGGAUCUCUGCAGAGAGGGUAUUCCACAAUAAUGCUCCCAAGCUGUUUAUUAAUCUCUGCACAUUUUCUGUUAGUGGCCAUACAUCCUGUCAUUCAGGGUGUUUUCUCCCUCUGAGAAGCAAGGUUUGUACUUCUAAAGGUUGCUAAUGAUUACAGAGGAAACAAGGCAUGUUGAAAACCCUUCGGAAAACCUGAUCCUAAAUCUGUGUGUUUUUCUCAUUUGAAAGUCAGUCUUGACCUGCUAUAUCUUGGAGUGGAUGGAGGAUUUGCAGAUAAUGUCCUACUGUCUCAUUCAUCAGCAGAUCCCAGCUGAAAGUCCUUCCCACAUGGGCAGCAGCAGGAGGAAGCACGCCAGUAUCAUUAUUCUGCAUUAAUAGAAGGGCCGGUCUCCUGCUGUAGCAUUUUCCUCUGUUGCCAAUUCACAUCUCCUUCAAUCUUCCCUGACUAGUUCUGUUUUAACAUGGACAACCCCCUUGAAACGUCUUCUUCACAAUUGAAACCAUUUCAUUUAUUUGUUUUAUAAACAGAACUCUCACUUGCAAAAUUGCCUAUAUGAUUUAUACUAAGCAGUCACUACAUACCAGUAUGUAUAAAUAUUCAAACAGAUGACUUUUCAGACAGCUGAGCAGAUAACAGUCAACAGAGGAAGAGACUACGGGUCUCCCUAAGGAUAUGCUAAUAGUUUGGUCUGAAAGGGAUUUACAUUCCAAGCAUAGCCACUUGAAGUACAGAGCUUUGUAUUUCAGUCAUUUGUCCAUGUACAUUUUUGUCACUCACCAUUAUUCAGGACUUUGUCAGUGUUUGGCCAGGAAGCACCUUUUCUGUUCUUGCCAGUGGUUAACUAGCAUAGGGAAACAUUUCCAUUUAAUACUUACCUUUUUAAGUCAGCUGUGUGCUCCCAUUCCAGAUACUUAAUAACCAGCAACAUAAAAAGUGCCAACUACAGGUGACGGUUGAUCCCAGUUCCACCAUUUCCUUCCUUUUUUCUCAUUUUCCUAGUUUACUAAGUUUUAGUUUCCAACCUGAUGCAUUAGCUAUGAUGGACAACAUUAUGGCAAUGAAUUCCUUAAGCCUGUGUUGUGUACACUGACUGGUAGUGGUUCUCUUUGGUUUUCAGCAGGGAUCUUUCCCAGUCCUACCAUGGAUUGAAGACUUUGGGCAGGCAAGGAUUUUACUCAGUCAAUGAGAUAAGAUCACUCAGGUUUUUUACCACCCACACCAGCUUAAUGGAGUGACCUGUCCUGAUUUGCAUUCCUCUCUUGGUCUUUUGUUUUUGUUAGUGCGUUCCAUAUUUUUAAUUUCACUUCAGAUGGAAUUAUGGAAUUCUAGAAAGAGAAUUCAGGUUUUACUGUUUAAAAAAAGAAUGCAUAUGUCGUGGCAUGUAGGUAGGGCAAUAACUAUGUCCAGACUUUUGCUUGGAGGUAGCAGUCGAACCGAGCGAGGUAGGAGUCCCAUGAUUCAGAGGCUGGGGCAAAUGGCGGUAGAGGCACAAGUGAAGCCAUGGUUCCGAUGCCGACGUGGAGGCGAGGGAUGGAACACAGUGCUCUAGCCAGACGGUCAGCUCUGAAUUGGUUCUGCUCCGUGAUUUCGCUCAGUGUUUCAGCUCCAUGAUUCAGCUCAGCUCAGGGUGGCCGCGUCUGGCUGUGCUCCGAUGUCCAUCGAUCCCACCUUCGUUGCCGCUGUUAGAUAGUGGUUAGACAUAGCAGACGAUGCAGCGAUUUCUCCAAAGCAGCUCUUUAUUUGUAAGCUGGAACAGAACUGAACUGCAAACAGCUCAGCCGGCCUGCUUUUAUAGGCAGCCGGCUGUCAACAUUGUAGCAACACAACCCAGGUUUCCCGCCUAAAGUAACUGACGUGGACCUGAUUGAAGAUUAUAUACCGGUACAUGAUACUCCUGGUGGCCAGGGUGAGAACUUCAAUACAUAACAGUUUGUACUUAGAGUCAAGAAAGAAAGGCACUGUUUGCCUCUCUAUUUUUUCAUCCCUCAUAGAUCAUUUAAGUGCUCUUCCCUUUAGGUUAAACACCUCAGCAAAAGAUAGCAGUGUUGGAAAUACUGUAUGGGGAAUGCAAAGGAUAAUGUUUGCAUGCUUCAAGGAACUGAGUGGAAAUGCACUAAAGCAGGCAUGGCCAAAGCAUGCAGGAGAAAUUUGCUUGAUAGCAAGCCAAUUAUGACAAUAUAAAAAUACAGUGGUACCUUGGGUUACAUACGCUUCAGGUUACAGACUCUGCUGGUAGACGGCUACGUUGACCCUGGACUUAAUAAAGCACAGUGGACCAACACCAGCUGAUGACAUGGCUCCCCAAAUCUCUUUUCUGAUGGGAGCAGCUUUUGCAUCUCACUUGGAAAUGAAGGACCCAGAGUCUGGAGGAAGACUGCGGAGGCACACAAUGCCAGAUGCUUGAAAUCCAAUGUGAAAUUUCCACAGUCUGUGUUGAUUUGGGGAGCUAUGUCAUCAGCUGGUGUUGGUCCACUGUGCUUCACUAAGUCCAGGGUCAACUCAGCCAUCUACCAAGAGAUUUUGGAGCACUUCAUGCUUCCUUCCACAGACGAGCUUUAUGGGGAUUCUGAUUUCAUUUUCCAGCAGGACUUUGUCACCUGCCCACAGUGCCAAAAGUACCAAAACCUGGUUCAAUGCCCAUGGGAUUACUGUGCUUGAUUGGCCAGCAAACUCGCCUGACCUGAACCCCAUAGAGAAUCUAUGGGACAUUGCCAAGAGAAAGAUGAGAGACAUGAGACCAAGCAAUGUAGAAGAGCUGAAGGCUGCUAUUGAAGCAUCCUGGUCUUCCAUAACACCUCAGCAGUGCCACAAGCUGAUAGCAUCCAUGCCACGCCGCAUUGAGGCAGUAAUUGAUGCAAAAGGGGCCCAAACCAAGUACUGAGUACAUGUGCAUGCUUCUACUUCUCAGAGGUCCAAUAUUGCUCUAUUUGCAGUCCUUGUUUUGCUGAUUUCAUUUAAUAUUCUAAUUUUCUGAGAUUGUUAAUUUGGGGUUUUCAUCAGCUGUACACCAUAAACAUCACAAUUGUAACAAAUAAAGGCUUGACAUAUCUCGCUUUGCAUGUCAUGAGUCUAUCUCAUAUAUUAGUUUCACCUUUUAAGUUGAAUUACUGAAAUAAAUGAACUUUUCCACAAUAUUCUAAUUUUUUGAGUUUCACCUGUAGUUGCUCCAGGUUAAGAACUUUGCCCCAGGAUAAGAACAGAAAUUGUGUGGCAGCAGCAGCAGGAGACCCCAUUAGCAAAAGCGCACCUCAGGUUAAGAACCGUUUCAGGUUAAGAGUGGACCUCUGGAACAAAUUAAGUUCUUAACCCAAGGUAGCACUGUAUAUCUAUCUAUAAGGUUAAAAGCAGCUUGGGAUAAUAUGUUUGGACGCAUUACGAUGACAGAGAGAGAAAUGAAGUAUUAAAGAAUCGAGGACUUAAGAUUUGCAGGAGAAUAAUAGUUUUGCCAAUUUCCUUCCAAAAUCAGAUAAACUUGAUAAAGGGGUGGGGGAACUCUUAAGAAAAAAGCAGACAGGGUCUUUGAAAUUUCUAUAGAUAUUGACUUUGGGAUACUGAAGUGAGAACAGUACACACAUACUUGUAUUCCCAUUUCUUGCAAGGUAGCAUGGUGCUCAGCCUGCCAAAAAGACUGCUUCUUCCUCUAUUGAAUUCUUUAGGGGAAGAAGCAGUCCUUUAAGUAUGUGAAGAGGAGACUUAAUAAUGUAAAAAAAACCCCCACAAAAACUUACAGAUUUCUCAAGCCUUCUGCGUGGGGGAAUACAGAAAGAAUUCAGUAGAGCAGUGCUAAAGUGGGCCUGGCCUAAGAGCAUGUGAGUGAUAUGCUUCAUGUAAAGCAAACUACAAUAGUUUAAAAGAAGCCUGAACUGCUACUAGAAAUAAAUAUUAAUGUGUUGGUUUCCUCAAAGUAAAUAUAUCUAUAUGGGGUGGGGCCCUGGAUUGUAGAAUUAACAGCUUGAAGGUUGUCACAUCUCUAAAGUCUAGAUAUAGAAAAACCCCUGUAAAGUAGGAAUAAAAACACAGUCAGAAAAUAAUGUAUGGUCAUCAGAGUACUUGGACCUUGUAAUCUGAUUCCUGUGUCCUGAGAUAACUUCCAAUGGCUAAAAUUACCCAUUAUUCUACCCUUGGAAUCUAUUGGAUGCCCUGUUAUGUUACAAAUACAUAGCAAAAGUGGUGGCUCGGUAUUGGGUAGCUAGGAGUAGAGAUUUACUCUGUCAAAAUUUGGUGUGAUGUACUGUAUUUACUUUCCAUUUUAUGAAUCCAGGGCUAUUCCUCCACUAGACUUGGGGACAGGUACUGUUUUCAUUUUUCAUCUUGUAGAAUAUAGUGCAUUUUGCUCCCAGCUGCAACUUCCUUGUGAUCUGUGCUAACAGUUGGAGACCGCAUUUCAUUUUUGAUAAUAGGUCACCCAUCUUCCUUGGUUGCAAAUGCAUAUCACUGCAUGAGUUGAUUAGAUUGUCUGGAAGUAUUAAUUCCCCCCAAAGUCUUGCCUCCAUAUCCAUUAGCUACUCGGCUGUGUGGCUAACAAUUCCAGAGAGCACCUUCAGAGACACUUCAUUACCAUGCAAAUAGAGACUGGCUCCUUUCUAUGCAACGUAGCCCUAGCUGGAGGAUUACACUAUAGCUUUAAGGAGAGCAUAUGCAGAACACAAAUUAUUGCAGUCAUCAAUAUUUAUACAGCUGCUAAAGUUCAUAUCUGACAGGAACAGCUUCUACCACAACGACUUGUAAAAGCGAGAGAGAUACACUGAGACUGAGAGGUACCAUGCUCACAAUUAGGAGCCCCAUAAUCAAAGUAUUUCUGUGCUGUUGAAAUAAAUUGGAAUUGGGCUGCUGGUGGGGAUCUUUUCUAGCACUAGUUAGUCUCUAGGGGGUAAACUUUGGCCACGAGGGAUAGUGUCCCUUUCUUAUCUAUCAGAUUGAAGGGCAGCAUGCAAGUGGUUGACACUUGCAGAUCUCUAUAGGAGUGUAUUGUCAUGCAUGCUGAAAUAUAUAUUUGAUUGCAUUCAUGUGCCUUAAUAUUGUGUCAUGGCUAAAAUUUAUCAGUAUUGUAUCCCUUGGAGUCUGUUUAUGUUCUGUGUUAACAUACAUCAAUUUGCAGCUGGGUUUAGGAGGAAAGAGUUGGGAUUUUACCUGCAGAAACCUAGUUUGACCUCUCCUGAUUGACCAUGGAUCUAGCAGCUGAAGUACAGAGUAGCAGCAUCACACAAAAGAGGGUUCUCAAAGGGGGUAUCUAGGCUGCGGAACUCUGCCUCAUCAGAUUUGAUAAAUUACUUCCUCAAGUAUCACCUUAAGAUAACCAUGUUUAGCCCCCUAAAUUUGACUUUUAACUUUUGCAGUUAACUUUUCUUAAUUCUGGGGUUUUUAUAUGUUGCUGCUGUUCUACAGAUUUGAUGGUUUUAUUAUCCAUGUUAACUGAAGCUCACCCACUUAAAUGGCUUUAAAAGGUGGUUAGAUAAUUUCCAAAUCAGAAUUAUAUUUGCACCACCUGUAGGGUUUAGCCAAGGGUGUCUGCUUCAAUAUUGUUUUAACUGAUUUUGUAUUGUUAUAUUGUAAUUCAUCCUGGGACUUUAUGGUGAAGGGCAGUAAAAAAAAAAUCUUAUAAAUAAACAAGCAAACAUGGGAAUAUUUCAAAACAUUGUCUUGAAUGCAUUUGUGCAUAGGAAUGGGACUCUAGGGUGUGAUUCUAACCCCACUCACCUGAGAGUAAUCCAUAUGGAAUUCAGUAGGUCUUAAUUCUGAGUAGACAGGGUUAGAAUCAAACUGUUGGUGUCUUAUAAAAUUAUUUGCAAAGGUGUCGGUAUUUCAGAGCCAUGCUGCUUAUUUUCAUUGUGGAGGGAUUGUGCAUGUCCAAAUUCAUAAAAAUGAAUUAUAGUUUUUAUUUAAAAUGUGCUUAAAAACUGUAUCCUGGUAAAGAUACAAGUAAGAUCACAUUAUAUUCAAAAAAUGCUGGCAGAUGUUCUUGGCUUUCACUUCGGCUUUUAACAAAAUUAAACCUACUAAAGUAUGGGGACCAAGGCCAUAUUCACACAUCUUUCCAAAGCAUAUUCUUUAUAUCUUUUAAAAUAAAUCUGUUGCAUAAAUUUGCCAUGGCAAGCUUGGUGCAAUCCUUUAAUAUUUUUUUCCAUUGGGAAUAACAGUCUAGGUUAGACCCACAUUGUACUCAAAUAGUUUUAAUUCUGUCCAUAGUUGGGACAGGAAGCUCAGUUCGCAAAAUGUGAAAAGGGUUAUAACUUGGGGGAAGUAAUGCUGUGUGCUUGCCACUUUGAGAGCCAGUGUGGUGUAGUAGUUAAGAGCAGUGGACUCGUAAUCUGGUGAACUGGGUUUGCGUCCCCGCUCCUCCACAUGCAGCUGCUGGGUGACUUUGGGCUAGUCACACUUCUCUGAAGUCUCUCAGCCCAACUCACCUCACAGAGUGUUUGCUGUGGGGGAGGAAGGGAAAGGAGAAUGUUAGCCGCUUUGAGACUCCUUAAAGGUAGUGAAAGGCAGGAUUUCAAAUCCAAACUCUUCUAUUCUUCUUCUUCUUUUCCAGUUGGUGAAACUGGUACCUGAAAUGAAUUAGUCUUUCUACUCAUUUCUACGUUCUACUCCAACUAUCCAGCUCUUUACUUUUAAACAAUUUGUUCCUCCAAAUGCCCUCACCCCCUUUAGAAGAAACCCUGAAUGUGCAAUUGUGGAAUAAAUGAGAUUCUUCUAUAUUUUCUUCCUGUAAUUUCUCUUUGUCUCAGAAUGCUCUCUAUUGGAUGAAUUCCAAAAUCUUGCUUCAUUCUGUGUAUCUGAAAGCUAGCCCUGAUUUCCAAUGGAGUCUUUGUUCCUAUCUUAGCUUGUCUCAUGCAAAUCAGUGCCCUGUGUACUUCAAAGGCCUCUCAAGAUGAGGAAUUCUUCACACUACUCUAUGAUUCUUACUGACUGGGAAGGCCCAGAUUACCUAAUUGGUGGCUUUGUUCUUGAUAGCUUAGAGACAUCCCACUGAUCUGAGCAGCCUCAUAACCACACCUUUCAGAAAAUGGAUAUUAGUUUGAUUUGAAGUCUGUUGUCCUCACUAGGAGACCUUCAUGUUUUAAUUAAUUUCUUCCUCUUUAAGAGAUUAGGAUCCUUAUCCCAUACAAUUCUGGGAAUUUAACAAGUCUUUUUCUUCCUUCACACAUAAUUCCAUAGCAUUAUCCUUGGGCUAGCACAGUCCCUCAUCCCACAUGCAUUCAUUCCCUCCUGUGCUUGAUGGUUGCCAGCAAAUCAUUGCUUUCAAAUUGGGUAAACUAUGGCUUCCUUAAACCUUAAUUUGCUUGGUUUGGAAGUAACAGCAAACCAUGGUUUUCUGAGAAACAGGAAGCAUAGGAGUGAAUUAGAAUAUGUAAGGGGAGGUUGGCGGGAUCGUGCAUGUCCAGGUCUUACUCAUGCAAUGGCAAACCAUCAUUUGGUGUUUCAUAUGAACCAUGUCAUGGGUGUAGUCAGGGGUGGCAGAUUUCCGCCUCCCCCCACUCGAUCAAGUAAAGCAAUAGAAAUACUUAACUAACUGCCCAAUCAUGUCAGUUCCGCCCCCAACCAAGUCCUGCCCCCCAACAAAAAUCCUAGCUACUCCCAUGAACCAUGCCUUUGCCUUUUGUGUUAUCUCAUAUGACCCAUGCUGUGCUUCUAGUGUAUAUGUUCAUGUUAUUUGCAUUAUUUUUCUGAGCAUUGUUUUACUGCUCUGGUUUGUUAAAAAUGUUUUGAUUGUUUAGGUGUCAAAUGUAAUUCUAAGGUUUCACUCUCUGAGCCUCAGAAGACCUCUGGAUUUUCUGCUACUAAAUUAACGGAUGGAGUUAUUGGUAAAAGAAAAGCUGGCUGGACUUUGAGUUCAAACAAUGAGAAGAGCACAGAUUUCUGUAACCAAAUUAGUUAUUCUCCCUCUAUAUCUCAACAUUUUGCCCGCUUCUUUGGAUUUUAAACACUGGGUGGGCUGCUGCUAGCAAAUAACACAGCAUUAAGGAUUGAUUGAAACAAGGGCUGUGUACACACCAUGCAUUUAAAGCACACACAAACCUCAAAGAUCCUGGGAACUGUAGUUGUUGAGGGUACUAGGAAUUGUAACUUGGGAGGGGGUAAACUACAGUUCCCAUGAUUCGUCUUUUGGGGAAUUUGUGCUUUAAAUGUCUGAUAUGUGUGCAGGCUUAGUUUACCUCAUCCUAAUCAUUGUAUAUUAAUAUCACCCAAAGGGCAAAGACUUUGCUCUGGAUCAGAUGUAAAUGAGCCAGCCUGAGCAUUAGACCUGUGUGCUCACCCCUUCCCUCUAGUUCUCUUUCAUCUGCCACUUGCUGUGGUCAUUUAAAAACCCAAAACAGAAGAGAGUCCAUGUGGUGUUGUGACUAGAGUGCCAGAGUAGGGCCUGGGACACCAGGAUUUAAAUUCCCACUUAGCCAUGAAGCUCACUGGAUGACCUUGGGCCAGUCACUGCCUCUCAGCUUAACCUACCCCACAGAGUUGUUGCUGGGAGUAAAUGAGUAGGGGGAGAACCAAGUACUCCAACUUGUUCCUUGGAUAAAAAGAUGGGGUUAUAAAUGCAGUAAAUAAAUAAAAAAUCAGUCCCCUUCUCCGCAGAGGGGAAAGUGUGUGAGCCCCAGGUGCACUGUAGGGCUUAUUUAUGUAGUGGGAAACUGGUUUCCUGUUACCUCUGAACUGAGCCUUAGAGGAAUAGAAGGACAACUCUACCAGAUUGAUUUUGGACUUAUGACAGUCGCACCAAAAUCUCUUUCAUAUGUAUAUGAGAUCAUAGAGUAAACAGUUAAUAUAGAAAACUGCAUUACAUAGAAAUGUUCUAACACGCAUAGGUCCUAAAGAGAGAGAUAUUGCACAUAUCACAUCAAUUAAGCACGCACAUAUAUAAAUCAUAACGAAUAUUGUGGCACUUUUAAAAACUAGCAGAUUUAUUGUGGUGUGAGCUUUCGUGGACUAGAGCCCAGUCCUCUGGAGGAUAUAAAUUAUCAAGAGCCUUCUUAUGCAUGCACAUGCAGACCACUUCCAUGCAAAUAUUUUAACAUGUGUAAGCGCCCAGAAAGAUAGCUGUCUUGCAACAUUAAAAGCACCCCUCUUUCCCUUUCAGAUAAAUAUAUAUAGAGAGAGAUCAUACACAAGCUUUCCCACGUGCAUCUGGAUGCAAUAUGUGCAGAUGCCUUUGACACAUCUGAGCGAAUGGCCUGGCAAAUUUCCGAGAGUGCAAAAGAUGGAGAAAAUGAUAAGUCAACUGUCAAUCUUUAAAAUUUUAAUGAAGUGAAAAUACUGCCUGAACCAGCAUGUGAGGAGGAGAGAGACCUCCUUCAGUUUGAACAGAUUUAAAAAAAAAACAACUCAGGGGGAUCAAAGAGGAUUAGCACUCCCAAUGCUAACACUACUGCUUGGAGUGAUGUUUGGGAAAAGGCUAUGUAAACCAUCUGACAAGAGAAGCUAACCUCCUUUUGGAAAGCCCUGAGCAAACAAAUACUAAUCACAGAAUAAAGGGACAAUUAGCGGUGAUGUCUCCUGUAAUAAAUCUACUAACAAGAAUACAACCUUCUGGCCAUUCACAGCCAGAUCCCCAGCCUUGCUGUUUGCUGAGCAGAUUAAUGGGGACAAAUCGGGCAGCUUAUUGCAAGGGACAAGCACAUUUCUUUGUCUGUCUUGACACAAGGAAGCCAAACCUGCCUGGAAUUGUAUUUCCAGCUUGAUCAACGGGGCAUCUGCUCUAACGAUUGCUCCAGUUCCAAUGUCCGUGAGUGGCACCUAAUUUCCUCAUAAAAGAUGCCUCUGCUAGAAUAAUUGAAAACUAACAGUCAAUUUCAAAAGAAGGACACAGCUAGUCCUGUUGUGACUCACACAGUCAUCCUCCAACUUUGGCUUUCUGCGUAAAUUAUAUGGCAUGGAGUGCACCUGAUGUAAAUUACUGACUUAAAUCCAUUAAGUGUCACUUUUGAUUCACAUCUGUGAAUGUAAGGGGAAUCGACCCCUUAUGCCAAGCCAUGUUUGCUCUUGAAAUGCUUCAGCUCUGAUUUUGAGGUGACAUUUGGUGCGUAUGUAAUGAGAUUUUUUGAAGUGGUCCCAUGAUCAUAUAUACAUUGAAGAGUUAUGUUGGGUUUGGGUAUUCCUCAACAUAACUUUUCUGGGAACAAUGCCAUGAGUGACAUCCUCAGUUCCUGCUGGGUUUGCAUACAAGAUUAUCCAUCGAGAAAUGAUAAGGAUAUUAUGUUCAGACAUAACAUGGCUGAAGAUCAGUGGAAGAUAAUCUGUUUUUCAUGCAGAAGGUCCCAGGUCCAACCCCCAGAAUCUCUAGGCAGGGCUAGGACAGAAACCUGUCUAAAAUUUUGGAGAGCUGCUGCCAGUCAGUAUAGGCACCACUGAACUAAAUGGACUAGCAGGCUGACUCAGGGUAAGGCAGCUUCUUGCGUUAUAAGUUCCUAUGUUUUUUUCAAUGUAGCAUUACCAUUCUCAGGUUUCCAUUCUCAACUUUCUCUUAAUCCAGCCCAAUCAACUCAGGGCCAAUCCUCAGAUGAAUGCACAGAAAUCUUCUUGGUCAAAUCUUAGCCAGAGCUGUUAUGUUUAAGGAACUUGGGAGCAUAGGAAGUUCCCUUAUAUGAGAUCAGAUUAAUGGUCUUGACUAAUAUUGUCUUCUCUGUGGUUCUUCAGGGUCUCAGGCAGAGAGUCUUUCUCAUCAUCUGAGAUCUGAGAUCCUUUUCACUUGGAGAUGUGGGGGCUUGAAACUGGGACUACUUUGCGUGUAAAUUGUGUGCUUUACCAUUGAGUUGUGGUUCUGCCUAAAGAGCCUUAGAGUAUAUAAGAGAGGGAGUUCAUUGUAAAUCAAAGUGAAGCUGCAAAAAUGUAAAUUGGCUAUAUGCAAAAUUAUUUAACUUCUUAAUUUAUCACCAUAGAAGCCUGGUGUAUCCUUAAAGAAUACAGCCUUACACACCCCUAUGGCCAUGAUCUUGCACAAAGUCAGGUGCAUGCAGCCUGUGCUUCUGUACUCUUGAAUCUGUGGGUUUGGACAAUAAUCAAAUAGUGGGUUUAGAAGAGAAGAUAGGAGAUGCCUCCAGCUGGGUUCCCUGCCCGCUGCCCCGGGCCAGAAUAUCAGGUAAGGAAGCAGUUAACCUCCACAUUUUUUUAAUGCAAACCAAUGUUGCAGUGCUGUGUGUGUGAGCCUUGGAUCUAUAUGGCACACAUGCUAAUACUACAUUGUUGUAGCAUUGCACUACAGAGAAGCAGAUUCCCUCAUGUCUUCUGAACCAGGCAAGGGAGCUCUCCAGCAAUAUCAGCAGCCAGAAUAACCAGUGCUGAGCAGGAACUGUCCAGGAGUACAAUAGACUAGGAGUAGGACUAUGAACCUAUUGCAUCAGUAGCUUCCAUUCAGCAGCUGAAAAUCUAAGUACCUCGGGUUAAGAACUUAAUUCGCUUUGGAGGUCCGUUCUUAACCUGAAACUGUUCUUAACCUGAGGUACCACUUUAGCUAAUGGGGCUUCCCGCUGGUGCCGCACGAUUUCUGUUCGCAUCCUGAAGCAAAGUUCUUAACCCGAGGUACUAUUUCUGGGUUAGCGGAGUUUGUCACCUGAAGCGUCUGUAACCUGAAGUGUCUGUAACCCGAGGUAUCACUGUACUCAGCCUGGUUAUUCCCUGCUGGCCUGGCCCUCACCUUGAAGUACUAGGGAAAGUUUGAUCCUAACUGUGCUUAUGAUAAUGAUUCAUGUUGACUGUGGGGAUUCGAGAGCUGUAGGAUGAAUCCAGUGGAAGCAUAUCAGAUCUACUGCAUUUCAGUAAGAUCUUUGGGAUUGCCUCAAGGUGCCCUAGCUAUGGUGUUGUAUGGUUUAUUUAUAUGUUCCUUUUGGGCUCAAAGGCCCUCAAAGCAUGAACAACAGUAAUGCAUAUUAACAACUUGGGACCAGUUUAUCUACAAGAUUGCCUUACCCCACAUGUGCCCACUAACCUACCCAGAGGCUUAGAAAGUUGAGGUAAUUUUAAUCUGUUUUAGUAUUUAAACUUCUGCAUGUUUUAGAGUAUGGUUGUGAUUCCCCCCCCCCCUUGCUUUAUCUUUCUGUAAACCGCACUGAGGCUUUUUACAUUCAAGCGGUAUAUAACUUUCAUGAAAUAAAUAAAUAAUAUCAAUGCAAAAUAAAGAUGCAGUAAAAUUACAAGACAUGCAAUAAAUAAAACAAUAUGAAAUAGUUUUAAAAUUCAGACAUGAACGUUAACUAUGUGAUGAUAUCCUUCCAUUCUCCUUUGCUUCUUCGCAGGAGCAAAGAUAUCAUUAGAACUACCUGAGACACCAUGUUAGAUGUUAGGCUGUCCCAGGUCAUCUGGUCCUGGUUCAUGCUGGGACUGAUGCUGAUGUCCUGAGGAUGUCUCAUGAUAAUCCAGCUAUAGGAGCUUGGCAGGUCCCAAUGCUUCUGCACUGCCACUCAGGAAUGGGUCUCAGGAGGUGGCUCAGUGGUGCUUUAGGGCAUAAUAUUCAACAUCACAGAUUAAUCAUGUCUUAAAACCCUUUAAAUACUUUUGAGUUAGGGUGGCUUAAGAAUGUAGUUUCCAUUCUUUUGCUGCAUAUUUGUGUGUGAGGAUUGUGCACUAUGUUAACUAUAAUGAAUAUUGCGGCGCAGGAAGGAAAAGUUUCAACGUUGUUUAACUGAGGAUAAAAGGUGUGUUCUUUGUCCAUGUCAUUUAAGCUCCAGGUGCAGAGUUUUGUGAAUGUGUCAUAUUUGGGGCUUUCCACUGUUUCAUGUAGGAGACAAGCUCCAUUGCACCUGGGUACAAGGCACCAAUGCAGCUCCAUAUCGCCUAAGGUUCUCUCUUUGGCCUGCAGCAGGUUUGGGAACAAGUAGCCCUCCAAACAUCAUUGGACUCGCAUCACCUCUGGCUGUUGCCCAUGCAGGCUGGGGCUGAGAAGAGUUGGCAGUCUAACAACAUACUUCUUGUUUCAUGGUGAUUUAUGUGUAUUCAUCUAGAUCAUUUACUCAGAGUGAACACUACUCUUGGACUUGUCUUUAAUGUCAUCUUUCCAUUCUGUCAGAUGCAAUUCUGACAGUUAACUGACAGCAUAUUUAUCUAUUUGUUUUGGCUCUUUAUAUCCCACCACCUCAAGAAAUGUUUGAUGCUGCUUUCAACAGUUUGCUCCUGCUUGAUUCCUUUAACCCUGCAUAUUACAGUCACCAAGCCAACAUUUGGCUUAGUGUGUUGUCAGAACCCAAUAAUGUGGUUAAACUCUGUCUUCCUUAACCUGUAGCCAAGAACAAAACUGCCUCAAUCUCUUUCUGAGAGCCAGCAUUUGCACUAAACCAUAGUUUUUGCCUUAGCAUUACACGCAAACAUGUCCAGUGUAGCUAGUAUAGUACUGAGCUAGAUGGACCAAUGGUUUCAUUGGGAAUGAGUCAGUGUCCUUUGUUCCUAGUCGUGGUCCAGAUCCUUAAGGAGGAGCUAUUGGUGAUGGAGCAUGUGUGUUGUAUACAGAAGAUUACUAGUUCACUAUCUCCAAUAGUGCUAGGAAAUAACCUCUGAAACACAACAGAUGCAUUAUCGGUAGAUGACCCAGAGCUAAAAGGGGCUAUAGUCUGACUUGGUAUAAAGCUAUUUCCUUAUCCUUAUGUUGUGACUUGGCAACAUGAAGGAAUUCCUUCCAAGUAUAUAGUUGGUGCAGCUGAAAUAUUAAAUACACUUCCUUUGUUGCCUUCCAUUUCAUUUACAUGUAUUUUCACAUUGCUGGCUACAACUUAAUACUUGUUUGCCACCAACAUUUAUGACCAGACAUUAUACAAAGCAGAAAAGUCACAUAGAGUCCUUUGGAGUAAAAGUAUUUUUUCAUAAAGCUUUUUCUAACAACGGGGGGUUUCUAGCCUCACUGAGAGAAGCCUUCAAUUUCCUGCUUGUCUUAUAUACAUUGGAAGCAAUUUCUUCCAAGUUGUUGUCUGUGAACUUGGUUACUUAAGAAUCCAGCCCAAUAGGCUCUGUUUGAAUAGCAUUAACCAGAAUACACGUUAAGAUGCUACAAGUAAUCUGGAUAAACAGUGAUAAGACAAAAGAAAAUAAGCAUUAUGCAUGCUAAGCACAAAUAAAUGAAACUUAUUUGAUAGGCCAACCUCUGGCUACAGUGGGAAUGACAAAGUAAAUUGGAGGAGUGAGAUUGGAGCGAAGCGGUAAACAUCUGUCACAGGGAGCAUUUUACAGAAGGCUGGAAUCGAGGUGAGUGAGAUGACAGAACCAGAGUGAACGCAUUUAGAAAUCAUCUUCAUUUGGCUGGAGCUCAUUAAAUUUCACACUCAAUAAGCAGGAUACAUGCAAGAAUGUGGGGGCUGAAUGGGAAGAGGGUAGAUAACAGAGACACUGCACCUAGCCUUGGUGACUGAAUUGAAACUACUAAUCAGUCUACUCCUGAUUAUGUGGAACUGAAGCUAAACGAAACUGCAUAACAGGACUGGAAAGGAAGAAAAUGAACAUGAGAUCAGAUUUCUUUAAUAAUAAAUAAUUAUUGCAUUUCAUUGCCUUUUGGUCUCACUGUUCACAUUUUUCCUGUAUUCCCUGCAUGUGUUCUUAAUCUCGUCUGUCACUAUAGAUAUUAUCUUCCAUAUGAGGACAACACUUCAUGCAUCUGAUAAUGUGGGUUCAGGUCAAUGAAAGCUUAUGCCAUAAGAAAUCUGUUAGUCAAAUUCUCUCUCUCUCUCUCUCUCUCUCGUGUGUGUGUGUUUGCUGUAACAGACUAGCAUGGCUAUCUGGAAUUUAAUCAGAAAUUGCCCCUACUCCUGAAUACAGCAAGAGGGUAAAUCCUACCUUGCAACUCAAAGGUGUGAGUAUUUCAGCUACCCCCACCAUCUAACUUGGGGGUGGGACACUUCAAGCCCAAUGACCAAAUGUGGCCCCCCCCAUGCUUCUCUAUCUGGCCACUGGGACUCUUCCCCGGCCAAGCUCUUGUGCAAAAUAGUCUUCCAUGAACACAGUUUUAACAGUGAGUCCGUAAGUGACUGUGGAGGCCAAUUCUGGAUCCACACAUCCUUCCACAGUGGGGACAUAGGUUUCCGGGUGGGAAUUGAUCAUGGUGAGGGUUUGCCAACUUGCCUUCCUCUAAACAUGUUUCUCCCUUUCGUCCUGAGUUCAAGCGUCUUCAAAGUCCAUGACACCUUUGGUAAAGGCCGUUCUCCAAAUGGAGCGCUCACAGGCCAGUGUUUCCCAGUUGUCGGUGUUUAUACUACAGUUUUUAAGAUUUGCCUUGAGGGAAUCUUUAAACCUCUUUUGUUGACCACCAGCAUUACACUUUCCAUUUUUAAGUUUGGAAUAGAGUAGUUUCUUUGGAAGAUGAUAAUCAGACAUCCUCACAACAUGACCAGUCCAAUGAAGUUGAUGUUGAAGAAUCAUUGCUUCGACACUGGUGAUCUUUACUUCUUCCAGUACACUAGCAUUAGUACACUGACACUACUCUUGUGCAAAGUAGUAGCUCCUGUGCAAAGUACUGGCAAAAGCAGCAUGUGAUGGUGGUUUUUACAGCUCUAUAUGAAAUGGAUGCAUCAUUGUCUCCAGGAUAAUAUCUGCAAGCUUGGGUUAUUUUCAGAUACUUUGUAUAACUGGUACUGUGUGGAAUUAUUCAUAAAGUAAAUGUGUGUAGUAACCAUGAAAGAGUGGGAGGACUCUCAACAUUAAUCUGGAAGUGUGAUUAAGGAAGUUCUGUAGAUCAGUGGUGGCGAACCUAUGGCACACAUGCCAGAGGAGGCACUCAGAGUUCUCUUUGUGGGCACGUGCACUUUUGCCCCAGCACAGAGCCGGCAGAAGGCGAGGGCAUCAAGUCCUCAGCUCAACUUGUGUCUGAGUAGAAGCACUUUGGAUGGGGCAUUGGGGUGUGUGUGUGCAAAACGGAGCCACAAGCUCCAGGGUGCGUGUUUUCCCUUGGGGAGCCUCCGCUGUGGGUGGGGAGGGCGCAGCGCUGUGCACGUGCUCAGAAGCAUGCUGACGCGUUGGUGGGCCACCCAGAGUUCCAAGCAGCCGUCUUCCUCCUGCUGCUGCAAGGUUGAGUCUUUACACACCCUCCAGCCCAUCCCUUGCCUGCUCACUUGCCGCCCAGCCCGCCUUCCCUCACUCUGAAAACGGAAGUGUGGCAAUCAAAACAGAAGUUAUACUGAGAACAGAGCACUUUCCGCUUCCGAAAAAAGUUCAAAAACCCGAACACUCAUUUCCGGGUUUGAAGUGUUCAGAUUCCAAGUAGUUUGAGAACUAAGCUGUUCGAAAACUGAGGUACCACUGUAUUGCUCCACUCUCUCUCCACAUGGAUGCACCAACCUCCCCUUCUAAACUAAAACCUAGGACCCUCAUACCUACGGGACCGCCUCUCCUGGUAUGUCCCACAGAGAAACUUACGGUCUUCAAAUAAAAACAUCUUGAAGAUCCCAGGCCACAGAGAGGUUAGGCUGGCCUCAACUAGAGCCAGGGCUUUUCCGGCUGUGGCUCCGAUCUGGUGGAACGCUCUGUCACAAGAGACUAGGGCCCUGCGGGACUUGACAUCUUUCCGCAGGGCCUGCAAGACAGAGCUGUUCCACCAGGCCUUUGGUCAGGGCGCAGCCUGACUCCCUCCUUUGGCAAUCUUCGCGGAGCUCUGGCCCAAUGGUUGCCACUGGUUUGAGUUGAAUCAGUUUUAUAAUGAAUGAUUUUAGAGUGUUGUGUUGUGUUGUACUGUUAUACUGUUUUAUUGUUGUUAGCCGCCCUGAGCCCGGCUUCAGCUGGGGAGGGCAGGAUAUAAAUAAAAUUUAUUAUUAUUAUUAUUCAGGUUAAAUUACCGUGUUGGCACUUUGCGAUAAAUAAGUGGGUUUGGGGUUGCAGUUUGGGCACUCGGUCUCUAAAAGGUUUGCCCUCACUGCUAUAGAUGUACAGACAUUGUUGUGGGUAAUGACAAAAUAUUGUGUAACAUCAAUGAUUCCCCUUGUGUUGUGUGUGUGUGUGUGUGUGUGUGUGUGUGUGUGUGUGUGUUGAUAAUAAAACUCAAAGAGUUUGUGUUCAAGAAUGCUGGUGGGUUUAUUCUUUGACCCGGAUGUGAAAUCCCCUCUUCCUUUCAGUGGUUUAUUGUACCUAAAGUUAAUAACCUAUCUUAAAGGUUUGCUGACGUUCUUGACUCCCAAUGCUGGUUCACCAAGGCCAUGAACAUUAAGAGCACAACUUGAUCUGACACCAGGAGAUCUAUGAUCAUAUCACUUGCUACUUUCAAAAGUGCAGUUAGGGUCACCAAAUAUGAUCAGGAUCAUGACACUGGAGAAGGGAGGGAUCACCUUUUUUUUUUUUACACCAUUGAGAAGAUUUAAUAAAAAUGUAGAAGCCACAAACAAAAAGGAAAAAGACAGUUGCACAACUAAAUUGGGUCCUAACUCAUUUCACUUUUCAAAAAAGCUACUUGGGACCACUUCACUCCUUUUCCCCACUUGCCAUUUUCCCAUUGAAAAUCCAUAGCUGCAAUUUGCACUUAUCACAGUGCUAGUUUUAAUCUGGUCUUCUUCUCUUCCUUUUUAAACUCUGGGUGGCUUCCAACAAAGAUUAAAAAUACAUUAAAAUGUUACAUAUUAAAAACUUCCCUGAACUGCCUUCAGAUGUCUUCUAAAUGUCAGGUAGUUGUUUAUCUCUUUGACAUCUCAUGGGAGGGCGUUCCACAGGGUGGGCGCCACUACCGAGAAGGCCCUCUGCCUGGUUCCCUGUAACCUCACUUAUCUCAGGGAGGAAACCGCCACAAGGUCCUCGGAGCUGGGCCUCAGUGUUUGGACUGAACGAUGAAGGUGGAGACGCUCGUUCAGGUAUACCGAGCCAAGGCCAUUUAGGGCUUUAAAGGUCAACACCAACACUUUGAAUUGUGCUCGGAAACGCACUGGGAGUCAAUGUAGGUCUUUCAAGACUGGUGUUAUGUGGUCUCGGCGGUCGCCUCCAGUCACCAGUCUAGCUGCCGCAUUCUGGAUUAGUUGUAGUUUCCGGGUCAACAAUGCAUUAAGGUAUAGUCCUUGAUUGAAAGUAGAUUGAAAUAGUUUCCAUCUCUUCUCUUUUAGCUGUGGUGGGGUGGGCAGGCAGUGUUUUCCUAUGACUAAUGGCUAAAAACAAACAGAUUGAACUACUUUGGGCCUAAGGACAACACUUCACAAAACUGAUAAAGCAGGCUCUGACCCACAAAAGGCUCCUUUCUGUUAUAAUAAAUUUAAUAAUCUUUUAAGGAUUUGCUGCAACAGGCUAACAUAGCCAUCACUCUGUAAUCUAUCUUUAAAGUUUACAGUAACACUUCGGAUCAAACUCAUAACUAUGAUCAGCUAUAGCUAAGAUUUUCAAAAAAUCUGUAUGGCUUUAAUAGUUGAAAGCCAUGAUAACGGGAGCCAGUUAAGGUCACUGGUCAAGGGCUCAAGUGACAGUUGCUUCCACAUACCAUAAUGUAGUAACAAUUUCUGCUUUUCACCGAUUUAUUGCUGAAUUUGUCCUGUCAGGAAGCAGACCAAUUCAGAGCAGUGAUUUAAGGAAAUCUUUUAAUAAAGGCACUUGGCAGAACUCCCCACUUGUCACCUUGCACAGCAUUUAAUAUUCCAGUGUAACGUGACUGUUCAUUUCUAUUACAGUGGAGAAUAAUUGUUUUGAUAAUUGUUUGAUAACGUGUUAUUUUCAGGUAAUUUAUUUCUACUUUUUCCGCGUGGUGGAUUCUCCUGUGUCCCUGGAGCAAGGAGAGCUGCUGCAGGAGAAAUGGAAGGCUUUGUAUUACUUUGGAAUUAAUAUUUAUUUGGUUUCUUCACUUGCUCAAGAACAAGAGACUCCAUGAAUAAUACAUAGGCCCAAAGAUGCCAAGAUAGGAGGCUUUAUAUUCUGAAUGCCAGUAGGAUCCAGAAAACUUAAAUCAAAGGUAAGAAUCAUCAUUGUCGGGUGCAUCAGGCAUGGCUCAGGCAAAUGGGAAUUCGAGUUCACUUCAAGGCCUGUGUUUUUUUAAAAAAAUAAAUAUGAAGGCAGAUCCAUUAUUAUCUUGGGGUAAAUGGGAGUAGGAAUGACCUGGGAAAAACAGACCACUGGAAUGAAAUACAGAUUCAAAAUUUGAAAUGCACUGGAAAAUCUCCCUAGGAGAUUUGCAUGUUGCUUUCUUGACUUGGAUGUAUGACUCCUGAGUGUAAAUUACUGGGCAUGUUUCCUAGCUUCAGAUACUUCCCUGUUAUGUAUUUUACUUUAUAUAUGGUCCCAGAACAUGAUCUUAAGGCACAUGAUGCAACAUCCUUGCCAGAGCUAAAUAGGUCAGGGUCUUGAUUAGUGUCAGGAUGGGAAACCACUGCCUGUUCCUCUGGUUCAGGAAGAGAAGCAGCUCAGUCUAUGAUAUAUGAGCUGGAGGCUCCAACCUUUUCCUGAUCAGGACAGGUGUUUUCAUGAGCUUCCCUAGCCUGAGUAAUUUCAUAUGUGGUGGUGGCCCUGAAGCUCUUCCCCGGUUGACUGUCUCCUCUGAUCCUGUGAAUGUUGAGUGGGUGACCUGAGAGCAAGUCAGGAACCCAUGCAGCUGUUGUGCUGUGCCCUCCAAUCCUGUGGCAGCAGUGUCUAGAUCCAACAGCUUUUCAGGGUUUCCAGUGGUAUGGAGAUCUGCUUCGUUGUCCUGCUCUGUGUAUGGGGAUACCUCAAGUUCCAGAGAUGCCAUCUACCUGGGAAUCCCAUGCACACUGCAUAUAAUAGAAGAAAGACAGGGUAUAAAAGUAAUAAAUAAAUAUUAGCAGAAUAAUGUGUCUUACAGCUAAGAAUUUUGCAGAAAUGUAAAGGCCCAAUGUAACCUCAGAUAACUUCCCAGCUUCAAAAGGGGAAAUGACAUGCUGUUGAUCCUAAAGGCUGCUUUUUCUUAGUACAAGAAGUGGUGUGUAGUUGUUUUUAAUGCCUGCCUGCUACACAUCCCAAGAGAAACUCCAGCUUAGCUUUUGGGUGACAUGUUUUCCUUUGUUAUCUCACAUCAGUCCUGACACUGAAAUUAGUCCGCUAAUGCAGCCAUCAUGGUGCAACAAGAUAAAGGGUCAAAAGAUGCAGACAUUUCUUAUCACCCACUGGGUGGAUAGAUGUGAGCUGGUCAAUAAGUGCUUAGUAAUGUGUUCACGUUGUAUGGAGCUUUUGAACUAAUAGACAUGUCAGCAUAGUCCAAGAAGCUGAUGUUUGUACAUUUGGGAUUGGCGUUGACAUUCCACUUCUUCCAGUCUUGCUCUUCUGAAUGUAAUAAGCAGAACAAUUGCUUCUCUGAUCAAUCAUCUUGUUCCAAGUUGCUUUCUCUCCACCCCCCAAACCUUCCCUACGCUUUCUUUCAUCAAGGGGUGCCUGAUAAACACCAUGUUUCACUAAAUGAAAGGAUAAGUGAUGAGGCACUAUCUAUUCUGAGACUUCUUAUUGAGAGAGACAUGAAAUUAAGGCAUGAACAUCAUUGAUGAUAAGUCUACUUGGUUUUUGUAGUUCCCAGAGCAUGAAAUUAUUGGGGAUUUCCUGGUGCAUCUUCCUUACUUCAUGCCUUUCAGAUUCUAUAAUAUGCUGGAUAAUGCAGGCAAAACUAGACUGCAUGCAGUUAAUUGAAAUACACAAAGCAGAGUGAGUUCCUAUCUCAUCAGUAAGGUGCAGUGUACUGAAAUCUGAAUUGUGCCGAUCACUUGAGUCACUGUGUCUGUUUUCCAAAAAUGACUGAACAGUUGCAUCAUCUAUACAGCAGUUGUGUUUGCCAUGAUAAAUCCCCAAAGUGGGAAAGAAUGGUACAUGUCUCAAAACACUUUGGGUUCUGUUAUUGGCAGCCUUGAGCCUUUCCGUUAUCCUGGAAAGGUUGGGGAGCUAACCCAUUAGGCAAGGCGCAAUCUAUAGCAAAGUUUGCUUAAAGCAGCGGAGCAGCUGUCCAGCACAGCAAUCCAUGCCAGAGCAGAAGCAUCAGCCUAGGUGAAGGGCAUGAAACCUUUUUGGCUCUGUCAGCCAGAUCCUAGCCCAUAGGCCAAACUUGACAUCACAGUGCCAUCGGGCAAUUGGGCACUUUCAAAGAGGGGCUUUCAAUUGGGUGCUUACAAAAGGCUUGUAAAGAGCACCCAAGGCUUCCAUUUUUGCACCCUAUUAGUUGCCUAUAACCUAGACAAUUAAUAAACUAGACAUAUAAGUUGCAUACAGUACAGUAUUUCAAGACUUGCCAGCAUUGCCUGUGCAGCUUUGGUGACAGUUCAGAAAAUGCAGUUAGUACAAAAAUGUAGUAGCUGGACUGCAACUGGGGACUACACACCCAGUCUUGCUCAUAUUAAAAGAGCCUCACUGGCUGCUGAUCUAUUUCCAAGCCUGAUAUAAAGAUGCUAGUUCUAACCUAUAAAGACCUAACUGGACCCAGGUAUCUCAAGGGAAACCUGCUGCUCUGUCAACAUGCACACAUACUGAGGUCAUCUGCUGGUGGCAUUCUCUAAUGACACUGCUAUCAGAAGAGAGCUCACUGGAAAGACAGAUCCUGAAGCUGAGGCUCCAAUACUUUGGCCACCUCAUGAGAAGAGAAGACUCCCUGGAAAAGACCCUGAUGUUGGGAAAAAUGGAAGGCACAAGGAGAAGGGGACGACAGAGGAUGAGAUGGUUGGACAGUGUUCUCGAAGCUGCUAACAUGAGUUUGACCAAACUGCGGGAGGCAGUGGAAGACAGGAGUGCCUGGCGUGCUCUGGUCCAUGGGGUCACGAAGAGUCGGACACGACCAAACGACUAAACAACAACAAAUCAGAAGAGAGGCAGGUAGUGGUCAGAAGACGUCUGCUGUGGUUCCCCCAUUGUGAAGCUCUCUCCCCAAGGAGACUCAACUGGUGCAGGACAGACAAAAAAAAGAUACUUCUGCACACAAUGCAUAGUUCAUUAUGGAAUUUGCUCCUACAGCAGGCAGUGAUUACCACCAACUUGGAUUGUUUUAAAUGAGGAUUGGACAAAUUCAUGGAGAAUAAGGCUAUCAAUGGCUUAUUAACCCUGAGGACUAUAUUAUACCUCCACUGUUGGAGGCCGUACAUAUGCCUCAAUACUAGCUGCUGAGAAUCGUGACUGGGAUGAGUACUAUUAGGUCCUGCUUGUGUGCUUCCCAUAGACAUUUAGCUUGUCACUGUGAGAACAAGAUGCUGGACUAGAUAGGUCACUGCCCUGAUCCAAAAGGCUCUUGCUUUUUUAUUGUCCAGGCACUAGGGUAAGACCCUUUUGUUCACCUAAGGUUUUUAGAUAAUCUAGUUGGUUUUUUAAAACUAUAGUUUGGACAGAAUAGGUCCAUUGUUAAUUAUAUUUUUAUGUGAUUGUACAUUGCACUUAAUUCAAUUUAUAUAGGGUGAUAUAUCCAUUAAAAAUAGAUUUUAAAAAAUGAUGGGGAGUUCACAUAUACUAACUGUUGCACCCAUUCUUAAGAAGGGCUAGCUUAAAGUAGCAUAUUAGCAUUAAUACAUUUCCCACUGUCAUAAAAGGCAGAAAUACAUUGUUAAUUUCCACCCUUAUUUUAAUUUGAAACUGAUGAAGAAAGGGAUCUGUGCAGCCUGGAAUCCUGCUAGUUCAAAGGGAUUAAUUAAAAUAAAUGCUUAUUUCAUCUCCCUUGUAAUUUAUUUAACAAGGCUCUAUAGUAUAGGUAAAACAACCAUAGUAGCCACCCUGAGAGAUAAAGGUAUCUCAAAGUAUGAGGGAUGAGUUUCAGUCUUAGACAUUAUUGUUUAUGGAUUCUGGAACGGAACUGAAUUUGCUCUGAAAGCAGCAGUUGAACCCACACAGAUGUUAAGAAAAAUCUGAUACUGACAAACUGUUAGCUGAUCUUUAAUUAGUUGCCAGGUUUGGAAACUGGAGAGAAACCUUACAAACAUGGCUCAUUGUAGGCAAGUAAGUGUGUCCUUUAUGAGUUUGCAAAUUGCUUAAUAGAGAAGCGGAGCUCUUUGAUAAAAUAAGCAAUGGGCAGAUUUUCUUGCUCAGAAUUUGCACAUACAAGAGACACUUUGAAGUACUCAGGUGGACCUGUUUACCUGAAAGGACUACACUCUUUCAAAAGAGACACUUUGUGUUGAUGUAGAUGUUGACACAGCAUGCUGGCACCAGGUUGGCGAAGGCCACUCCAGAUGAUUUCCCCAAUGCUACUCUCUGCUUUGAAAGUUCAGGGUCCUGGGCAGUGAUUCUGGUAAAGCUCUGAACUUCUACUUUCAGAGGCUUGGAAUGAUCAGAAAACAGUGCUAACUCUAAUGAAUAAAAACAGCAUGAAAGGCUUUUAAUUUUGCUUGGGCCAAAAAUUCUGAACCCCAAGAAAGUUUCUUUGGCAAAACAUUGUUGCUAGUUCACAAAUAUACCUGUUUCUAUAGGAUCUUACAUUUAAAAUUAAGAAAGCCUUCACAGUUCUAAAGACAAAGGUUCCAAUUUUGUUCAGGCCUUCUAGCUUUGGAAAAAGCAUCUACACUUUUAAAUAUUUAUUCACAAUUUACCCUGACAGCUAGAAAUGUGAUUUUUAAAGCCAGCAACUCAACUGAAUACAACUCUUGAGUUCCUAUGUGUGUAUGGAACAUACUAACACUCAAUUCAUGCUAUCCUUUCAAAUCAUAGUGUUGUGGAACUAUUCACACAAACUAUCUCUUCACAGGAAAAUGAAAGUUGUUUUUUUUUUUAAAGCAUCCCUUACUAUAUUAGAAUUAUGAAAAAGAUCCUAGAUUGCAUUGUGUGAUUUGUGAUCUAGAUUUUUUAAUCCUAGGCAUUUUUCCUACAAUAUGCUUUGCAGCAUGUACACAUGAAUAAUUUUCAUCCCUGCCCAUUCCUCUCUUUAUUAGUAAUCCCACUGAGCCCUCUUUGUCCCUCUUCAUUCUACAUUUCCACCCCCCACUGUCUUGCUCUUUUCAAAUGUAAUCAUUAAUAUCAGAAAAUUAACUGAUUCAAAUGAGCGCAAUUGUCUGUGCUUUGAAUAUUCCCAGGGUUGCAUCCAGGGGUGGCACUCACACAUCUCAUUUGCAUCUCAGAGAAAUGGGCUCAUCCGGUUAAAUGUUAUGUUAAAUGCACCACCUUCUGAUAUGUGUGAAGCAAUGUAUUAAUAAACUGGGUAAUUGUCAAUUAGACAUUCUAGAGGCAUUUCGUUCACAAUGGAGAGAACUGCAAAUUUUCUUCUGGUGGAAGGCAGCACAGAUCUGAAGUCCAAGAAGCUGCCCCCAUUUUAACAGUGUGGCUGACAACACUAUCCUAUACACAUCUACUCAGAAGUAAGUCACUUGAGUUCCAUUGGGUGUACUCCUAAGACAGUGAAUAUAGGAUUAGAGCCUUAGUAGACAGAGUAGUCAAACCUCUGUUCAACAAUGCUAUCAAACCUCUGUUCAACAAUGCAGGUGAUAAGUCCCUAACUCUCACCCUAACUCAACUCGGAGAGAUGCAAAGAAGCAGGGAUAUCAUGUAUGCCAUUUACAGCUCCUUGUAGGAUGGAAGAUAUCAAAGUGUAAUAAGUAGUAUUGGCAGAUACUUUGGCUAAUUCCUGUUCUGCUCAGAAAAGCCCCAGAUUUUUUGUUUUUGUUUCCAACCUUGUGAAUGCUGUGGACUUUCAUCUAAAUUUGCAAAAAGAAAAAGAAAGAAAGAAAGAAAGAAAGAAAGAAAGAAAGAAAGAAAGAAUUUGAGGAAUGAAAACAUAUAUCAGGGAACACCUUGAAUUAAAUAUACAUUUAGAAAUCUUCACAGACCUAUGUAGCAUCUAUUUACUUGCAGCUAUUAUAGCCAAUGGCAUGUUAGCAUGCUGCCUAUAGUGCAUAUGCAUUAUAGACUGAGCCCCUGUCCAACACAGAGUUGAGUGUACCUUGACCCACUGAAUUCAAGUACAGUUAAUUCUGCAUUGGAUUGUAUUCAGGAUGUCUACUCAUGGCCUGCUCUCUGAAUGUCAGUGCUGAGCCAUAGCCAUUGAGUGGGUGCUUAUGUCUAAGUGUCAGAGCCUGAGAAUAAGCGGUCUGAAUUGGUCAGGGCUAUUGUUCUCCAUGCAAAAUCUGAGAGUGAACAGGAAACCUUUAUAGGCAUUCAUGUUGAGCAGAGGCUAGCCAAUUGUCAGCCUUGGUGUGCAGAGUCAUUCUGGUACCUGGGGUGCUACAGGGCCUUCCCUAUAGGUCACCAGAUGGGGGAACUGGGCACAGAGCUGUGGCUUCUAUUGCGGCUUCUGACAGCCCUAAAAAAGGAGAGGUGGCAUGCAUUUUGUAACAAAUGGGGGACGAGGGCUUGCCUUUAUCUGGUCUUGGCAACCGGCUCCUCUUUGUGGGAUGUAACAUCACUGAAGCAGUCAAAUACAACAUUUCCUGUUUGCCCAGAGUGUACACACUGGGGAAUGUUGCUCCAGCCAGGAGGAAUUCCUGUCACGCCUGGUCUGGAGCAUUCUCCCCCUGCGUGUAACCAGGUAGAUGGGUGUGACCCUGGCAGACCAUACAAAAGGGCCAGUCAUGCAGCCCUCUCUCUCUCUUGAUCCCUUCUCUCUAUUUUGCCUUUUGCUGUCCGCUGGCUCUCAACCAGCAGCACAUGGGCUCAUCCCUCACAGAGGAUGAACCCACACUUUUCUCUGUAACUACAAGCUAAAGCCUGCCUUCAGGACCAUACUGUGAACUGAAUGUAAGUAAACCUUAUCAUUACUUUUAGAAGAAGACUAUUGUGCCGUUAUUGUUUUUAAGAGGGAACUAAAGGGGAUUUACCAGGACCAAGCCAAUCUGGACAAGCCAGACUGAAUUGCUUAACUCAAAUGAUUCUCCUGAAUCCAUCAACUAGCUUCCUGCAGUGUACAAAGGAAUGUGCUCUGCUACUAGCUCACUAACUUGAGCGAGGAAUGAUAAUAUUUAAUCAAUAUAUCCUCUCCUACUAUCCUCAACAUUCCCACACUCUUGACCACUGGUUUAUUUUUACAGAGUACCCUGAAUGUUUCGUUAUCCCAAAGCAUUCUUGAGGGUGAGUGGGGAAUGUCAGCCUCUACAAAAAAACAUACCAUCCCAAUCAUCACCCAGAAUGCCCUGGAAAGAUGCAGUGACCAAGACAUUUGGGGAAGAUAAAAUGGUGACUGUGAGGAAGCAGCAGUCAAAAGGAUCUCUGGUGCCACAAUCAGCAGCAAAAAACAAAACCCAUGAAUAUGGAUAACAAAUAAAUGAAAUGAAUGAA